This 65263-nucleotide long non-coding RNA is filed under the name Coffea arabica (coffee). Its description in RNAcentral is "long non-coding RNA (CARA_LNC001577)". The record is from RNAcentral. Lineage: Eukaryota; Viridiplantae; Streptophyta; Magnoliopsida; Gentianales; Rubiaceae.
UUUUUUUUUUUUUUUUUUUGUUUUGGACUCUAAACAGGAUCAUUGAGCCGUAAGAAGUGAAGUCACCCUUACGUGGUGUUUGGCUUGUCGCAUCAAGCUGUAUUUGGAAUCUAAAAAAGUUGAACCAACCAUAAAGAUUCUAAACAAAAGGUAGAAGGCUACAAACAACCAAAGUAAAUAAAUGGCCACCUGUGAUUCUCAAGUCUCAAUUAGUUUCUCUCUUUUUUCUUUUAGUGAAAGUAGGAGGAUUCGAAUCCAAGACCUCUUGCUUACACUCUCUCCCCCCAUUUGUUGCAUUUGAAUUAUCUUAUUCAUCUAUUUCUCAAACUGUAACUUUCUAGUCUCAGACUAUUAAAUUAGAGAAACCAUCUUAAGCCACCGUAGUGGAUACAUAUUUUUUUUAGCAAGUAAAAGUUUCGAUGAGCUCAAUUUCGAUCACCAUCAUAAAUCAGGAUAAUGUUUUUGAAACCAUAGAUUAUUUACAUAGAUUCUUAUCGAUCGUCCACCAAUUGGGACCAUAGGUCACUCACAUAAAUUAUUACCGAUCGCUCACCAACACAAUUUUUAUAUUCACAGUAAAAGUCAAAUACACGAUCUUUUGUGAAGAAGUAAUCUAUUCUUAUCAAUUGAACCGACUUGUUUUGCACUCCGCCUCUUAAAAUGCAUCUACUAUGCUGAAACUUGUCGCUGCUUUCACAAUAAUGUCCUGUUUUGAAUAGUUUUAAAUACACGAUCUUUUACGAGGAAGUAAUCCGUUCCCACCAAUUGAACCAACUUAUUUUGGCUUCCGCCUCUUAAAAUGCAUCUACUAUUCUGAUACCUGCCGCUGCUUUCACAAUAACGUCCUGUUUUGAGUUUUUUCCCGAUCUCUUAACAAUAAUGUCAGGGAUGUGCCUUUAAUAUAAAAUAAAGUGGAUACUUUACGGUAGUUCCAUUGAUCAAAACAAUCUACCAUUCCGACUAACACUUGUACAACAAAAUAAAAAUCAAUCGGGCUGAAUUGUUUGGAAGACUAUUAAGUGGAUAAGUUGGUAGCUUUGUUAUGAUAAAGAUUAUUUCAAAAAUUGUGUUAGAAUACCGUCUAUUAUGGUACUUUUUAAUGUGACAUGUAUGAAUUUAAAAAAAUAAAAAAAAAUUAAAAUGUUUAUAAUAUAAUAAAAAUUACUGUAUUUUUUAAAUAACACUCUACUCCAAAUGCACUUACUCUCUACACCGUUUCUACAAUGCUAUCUAAUGAAUAUUUAACAUUAAGAUGGUGGUGUCACGUUUGCGUACUCCUUAUCAUAGGAUUUUCAAUUAAAUAACACCACAUUUUCAAUCAAAUAACCAUCAUCAUCAGACUUUGAAAGUUCUUCUCUUUUUAUAUUUAUUUUGAAAAAAAUAAAAUGGCUAACGAUUUGAUUAAUUUUCUUUUAUAAAUAAUAAAUAAAUCAUACACUGAUAGUACAUACAAAAUUUACUCUUCAUUUAAUAGGAGGGUUAACGAGACGGUGACAAAUAGUCCAAAUAACCCCUUUAAAAAGGUUGCAAAUUGGGAUCCCUCAUCGGUCUAUCCACAUCAAAUCAUUAAUCCAAAUUUCAGCCCAUAGUUCCCGAAGGAAAGGGGCAAAGGUCCCCUGUAGACUUCCCUCUCUAAAUCUCAUCUUUAAAAUGCCGACUUUUUCUUCAGGCUUUGCUGCCAAAUUCCCCUUUGCCUUAGUCCAGAGAAGUAAUUCCUUCCCUGGCCACCUGACAAAAUUUCCCAUCUUUUCUGACAAAAAGCAUAACCGCCAGAAUCUAACCAACUUAUCCGUCUGUCUGUUGAACUCGAGGUCCAACCAGAAUAAUCACUCUGCUUCAACGAUGGAAGAAAUCAACGGGUUGGAGUUUGACACACCAUUUUCAUCAGAAACAAAGGAUGAGUUUUCCAAAGAAUUGGAAGUUGCUGUUAAAGCAGUGCAUAUGGCUUGUAUGCUGUGUCAAAGAGUUCAAGAAAGAUUGGUUUCUGAAACCCAUGAGGCCAAUGAUCAACAAGUUCAUUCCAAGGAUGACAAUUCUCCUGUGACAGUCGCAGGUACAAAAUGUUCUAUCUAUCCUUAACUGACGUGAGCUGUUGUUGAAAUUUGACUGUUGACUGUGUUUCUUGUCUUUCAUUGGCUGGAAUUGUCCUUUAUGGUUAAAAUAUUAACUUCCUUGUGUUGGACUGAAACACUGCUGAGGCUGCUAAAAAGUGAGGGGGUUGGGGUCACAAUAUUCGGUGGAUUUUGGAAUAUGUAUUGGGAGCCAAUAUGGCUGUCAAGUUGCAACAUAUUAUCCAACUGUUUUGCUCCCAACUGCCGCAUAUUUCAUUUUCUAAUUGCUAAGUGGAAUCCACACGUGAUGAGGUAUAAGAGUUUAUUGUAGUCUCAAACAAGCUUCAAUUUCAGUGUUCUCUCUUAGCUGAAAAACGAAAGAGAUCCAAUGUUCUCGAGGAUAUUGGUCUUUUAGAUCGUGAUUUGGCCCAACCUACAACUAUUGGCUGUGACAGUGACAGUAGUACUAGUGGGUGAAAAAGGUUUCAAAAUUUUAAUGUGGGGAUAUAUUCAGAAGUUUAAGAACUAGUCAAAGGUCUGUUCUGCUGUGGAAAAAAAAAAAUGAAAGAAAAACUGAUAUCGGAUUCAUCAGUUACAGAAUUAAUAAUUCUGAUUUGUCAGUUAUAGAAUGGACUUCUAACUAUUAGUUAACUGUAGCGAAAACUCCUGGAACUGCUGUGAGCUAUCUCCACUUAUCAAGAAGCUGUUUUGGGUUUACAAGCUGCAAAUUAUGUCCAGCAAAUCUUUUGCUUGUUAAUCACUUUCUUUAACUUACUUAAAAGAAGGGCAUGUUCUUGGCUCGUUAAUAUUGUAAAAGAACUAACAGAUAUCCUGAUUUCAUAUGUGCUUUGGUUUAUAGAAGGUUCCGUGACUCAUCUAUCUCUUUGGCCAAUUUCGCUGCAAGGUUUACUUUUUAAUAGAUAAGGUGUUGAAUGGCGUAUGCACAAAUACAGCUCUAGUUUUCCUUGAGCCUAUUCAUGAUCUCUACAAAUUUUCUGUUGUUUUUUCAGUCAUCAGUUAUUUCUGCUGUUCUUGAAAUUGUCAUUUUUCUUUUAAAGUAUCAGAAACGUGCUGGUUUUAGUUAAAUCACCAAUUGCUGGAGACAUGAUUGACAAAGUCUAAUCGGUGGCUAGCUAAAAUGAAUAUUAUGCUCAAAGUUUUUUCUUUUCCCUGUGCUCCUGGGAAAAGCACAUUCAAAUAUUGUGGUUUAGUCUCCAACUUUUAGGAUAUCCAAGUUACUACUAGGCUGCGAUGGUGAAUUUUAUGUUUUGAGUAGUUUGGUGGUUUUGUUCAGCUUGUAACUGGAAGAUCCAUUUAAAGUAAUAAAAUUACUUUUAAGUACCAGAGAACAAAGCACAGUUCAACAGAUAGCUGGAAACUUUGCCUCAAGGGACAACUUUUCUUGUAUAGGAGUUUAUGUGAAAUUAUGUGUAUGACAAUAUGCUGUUCUUACUUCCCGCAUAUUUACCCUCUCUUCCACAGAAAAGCAAUUCAUGUAAAAUCAGCAUAUUUUCUUUUAAAGUCAAGUUUCCUGUAUAAUGCUUAAUCAAUUUUCCAUGAAGCAACUACUGAGUAAUAUGGAAGCAAAUAUCACACAUCUCAUGACUGGUUCAGUCAAAGUUAUGGUUCUUUUUCCCCCCUAGUUAAUCAUUUGAAAGUUCAUCAGAUUUAAUGAUUGUGUUCUAUUUGGAGGUCAUAAUUUGGAAUUCUUGAGAUCCUACAGUCAUCAUCUAUAAAACCACCAAAAAUAUCCCUAUUCAAAGCUGAUAAACUCAAUGUUCUUUUGCCAAUGUCACCUUUAAUGGUAUGCUAUGUCUUAAUGUCGUUAAGUAAAUAUUUUGCACAGGCUUAUGUAAUUAUUUCCAAAAAUUUUCUGCCCUUUACUUUCUAUCAAGUAUAUAUUUCUCUUGUUUCAUCAGGCCAUCAUCAUUUUUAUCCAAUUUUGGAUAAAUCAUCUAGAUAUUUGAUCUCCAACUUUGGAUUGCUAAUUCAACUAGUGUCUUAUUUGCGUCUUGCAAACAGAUUGGAGUGUCCAAGCAACAGUGAGCUGGGUCCUUUCUGAGGCUUUUGGCAGUGAAAAUGUUUCAAUUGUUGCGGAAGAAGAUGUUGAGGUACUGUCAAAGGCUAGUUCAGCUGACCUACUUAAAAAUGUGGUAAAGAAAGUGAAUCAAUGUUUAGCCAAAGCCCCACUAUUGGGACUGGAAGCUCCCUCGAGGCCUCUUGAUAUGAGAGAGGUUCUAAAUGCAAUCAGUCGAUGCAACUCAAGGGGUGGCAAAAGUGGAAGGUUUUGGGUUCUUGAUCCUGUUGAUGGCACCUUGGGCUUUGUACGUGGGGAUCAGUAUGCCAUUGCUCUGGCAUUGAUAGAAGAUGGAGAACCUGUCAUAGGAGUACUUGGAUGUCCAAAUUACCCAAUGAAGAAGGAUUGGCUGAGCUAUCAAAAUGGUUACCGCAGACUUUUAUCUAGAUUGACCUCACCAACAUCAGAAGCUUAUGCCAAGGGGUCUGUAAUCUAUGCCAGGAAGGGUAGUGGCAAAGCCUGGAUGCAGACAUUACUCCAUGGAGAUAAGAAGUUUGUUUGGCCAAACUCUGCAAGGCAGAUUAAAGUAUCCUCCAUUGGCAACCCUGCAAUGGCUACCUUCUGUGAACCAGUUGAGAAGGCAAAUUCUAGUCAUUCCUUCACAGCGGGGCUAGCUCAUAGUGUUGGAAUGAGGUGUGUACAUUUUCCCAUUCAUCUUAGUUACAUUGUGAAAUGCGAUGCUGGCUGAUAAAUCUUGUGAAAUUUCUUUUCUUAAUCAAUUUAGGAACCAACCGUUGCGUCUGUAUAGCAUGGUGAAGUAUGCAGCCAUAGCCCGAGGAGACGCUGAGGUUUUCAUGAAGUUUGCCAGGACUGGUUACAAGGAGAAGAUAUGGGAUCAUGCAGCUGGAGUGGUAAUCAUUGAAGGGGCUGGUGGUGUGGUAACUGAUGCUGGAGGACAGCCACUAGACUUCUCGAAAGGCAUAUAUUUGGAAGGUCUUGAUCGGGGUAUAAUUGCCUGUGCUGGAGCUGGACUGCAUGAGAAGAUCCUGAGCGCUGUGGAAGAUAGCUGGAACAGUUCUAGUCUUUAAUAUGUACUGUAAUUGAGUGGAUCAAGAAAAGUUAAAAAGACCUUGGGAUACUUUGUACAAAUGAUAGCAGAAGUUACCGUUUGUUCCUGGAGGCUUGCAUGGCUUUGCCUGUAAUGCUGCUGUUUCUCAAAAGAUAGUGAAGAUUUCACAUUUCUUACUAUAUUUGUUUCAUGGCAGUUAUCCUGCAAACGGAUGAAAAUGUAUUAUAUAUAAACUUUGAUAUCUGAUCCAUCGGUUGUUGAUCAGAUCAGAUCAGAGCAGUUAAUGUCAGGUAUUGCAAUUUUAAUCUUAUAGCGGAUUAAUUAAUUAAUUAAUUAGCUUGUAAAUCCAGACCUUGUCCAGUCUAGACUCGGGGCAUCUCCAGUUGCUGCAAAACUGAAGCGCAUGGGUUGUGGCCCAGAUGGGCCGCAUUAGGUUUUGGGCCACUCCUUUCAAAUUUAGGGAAAAAUAAUUGUUUUCAAAUUUAAUGACCCAAUCUGGUACUUACACCGGACCUGUCUUGUAAGCUGGAGCACGUGUGCUGCACUUGAACAACUCAUAUUGGGGUAGCAAAUAGUUUAACAACCGAAUAGUGGGCGUUGCUUUAUGGCCUUCAAUUGGUGUGGGACUUGGGGUCCAAGAAAGUGGAAGUAGAGGACUGCCUUUGCUUGGAACAAGGACUGUCAAUUGGGGCGAGCUUUGAUUAAUAAUCUUGUUCUUAAAAUCUCAAGCGUUGAUUUUAAUUAAUUAGUAUCUUGUACAUGUAGAAAAAUACAGUAAUUCUUUAGAUGGGAAAUUGUUGAAUUUGGGAAAGCCCGUUUUGGAACCCAAUGAAAUAAAAAGGCCACGCUGAAUAUUUGAAGCUCGAAUCGGCCAAGUCCGAAUCCAAUUGUUUCGUUUUUAAUGGGGCUCCAAAUUUGGACAGUGCACAACCCGGCCAAUGAGGCCCAAGUGAAAAGCCUACUUGGAACUUGUCAAUGCAGGGCAAACAACCGUUAGUUCAACUUAAUAGUAUGUAAUUAGUGUUUAGCCAUGCAUUAACAGGAAAUAAUAGUUGUUAAUAUGAUUAUCAUGAACCUAUAAAAUGCAUAAAUAAUUCAUAAUAAUAUCCUUGCAUAGUUAUUGAUAUUUAUUUCAAAAAAUUAUUGUAUCCAAAAAAUUCAACCACUAUCAAUUUUUAAAAUCUUUUAUGUACUAAUUUAUCAUAAUGUGAUAAUAUUCAUCAAAUAGUAUAUUGCAUAUAAUAAAAGAAAUAACAGGUAAUCUUUAAAAUAGUGAUUAAGAUUAACAAUAAAUGAAUAUUCACCUGCAAUUGUGUAUUUUAUUUUCAAUUGAAUACAAAAUAAAAAAAAAUUGCAGCAAUGAUUUUCUCAUGAAUAAUUUUUUCAGUUUCUAGCAAAGUUAAUAAACUUACUAAUGUAACAAUUGACAUAAAUGGAUAAAAAAUAAUUCAAACUUAUUAAAUUAGAUAGAAGUUGUCGGAAGAAAGAGAAAUCAUAAUUGGAUGAGAGUUAUCUUUAUGUAUGUCUCAAAUCGAGGGGUGUUAAAAAAAAAAAAAUCGAAAAGGAGAGUAACUAAGAAAACUGAAUUGGCAAUAUUUUAAAAGUUGCUCUCACCUGCCAUUGCCUGGACGCUAGAGGAUUUUAUUGACAAAUAGUCGUCAUAUUACAUAGCGAAUAGUCAAUCAUGUAAUUCAAGGCCAACCCAUCCUUGGAAAGAUGAAGAUCAGCAGAGUAGUUUUCCUGAGGGCCCAUUUUUCAGUCUUUUCCUGAGGGCUAAGUUUUAAUACAGUACUUUUAAUUCUGUUCCACAAAACCACGGGCGUCUGACUUCUUCUAUCAGGAAGAGAAAAAAAAAAACCACUUUGAAUUAUUGUACUUGAGAAAUAAAUAAUAUGCAUAAUUUUUCGUCUGAAGCUGCCACCAAAUAUUCUAUAAUUACACCGAUAUCUUAUUCUCAGUCAAAUUGCAAGAUGUUUUUUUUUUUUUCAUCCAAACAAACUAUUUUACAUAUGAAUGAUUACUUUUAAAUACCUUUCAAUAUUGAAAAGGUUUCAGCGGAAGAAGUUUUCAUUCCUGUUUCUUACGCAUUCGUCAAGGAUAUAUAUACAUACAGCCCAAACCGUGGAUAUCGCUACCGAUAGCUACUGAUCCUAUUUGAAUACAAGUAUAGCUAAGGAUAACACCUAAUCAGCUAGAUAUCUCUUUACCAAUUCAAACUGAUAACCAACUCUGUUACAGAGAUAUACAUUAACUCUGUUACAGAGAUAUACAUUAUCCCUAAUACCCCCCCUCAAGUUGGAGCGUGAGGAUCACGAACGCCCAAUUUGCGAAGAAGAAACUCAAACUGAUCUCGACCCAAAGCUUUGGUUAGAAUGUCUGCUAACUGGUCGUGACUUCGAACAUAAACCGUUUUGAUCAUACCUUUCUGUAUUUCAUCGCGAACAAAAUGGCAAUCAACUUCGAUGUGUUUGGUGCGUUCAUGAAAGACAGGAUUGGCAGCUAUAUGCAUCGCAGCUUGGCUAUCACAAAAUACUCCAGCAGAUUGAUCAUGAUGCACUCCCAAAGACAAUAACAAACCCUUUAGCCAUUUCAAUUCACAGACCGUGGCGGCCAAGGAGCGAUAUUCCGCUUCAGCAGAAGAGCGAGAAACCGUAUGUUGUUUCUUGGUCUUCCAUGAAAUCGGAGAGGGCCCAAGAAAGAUGAAAUAACCUGUAAGUGAUCUCCGAGUUAAUGGACAACCUCCCCAAUCCGAAUCGCAAUAAGCUUUCAGUUCAAGAUUGCAAUCAGCGUUGAGUAAAAUGCCUUGUCCUGGACUACCUUUCAAGUAUCGGACUAUGCGCAAGGCUGCCUCCCAAUGCUCUUUCCGUGGCUGGUGCAUAAAUUGUGCCAAAAUAUGCACACCAUAGGACAGCUCAGGCCGAGUUAAGCUCAAGUAAAUCAAACGUCCUACCAGCCUUCGGUAUUGAUCAGGAUCCUGCAGCAAAUCACCUUUGGCUAAAGCGAGAGAAUGAUUCUGCUCCAUAGGAAACUUCGAAGGUUUAGCACCCAAUAAUCCUGCUUCAUUAAUGAUAUCUAAAGCAUAUUUCCGUUGACACAAGAAAAUCCCGUCAGCAUUUCGAGCUACUUCAACGCCCAAAAAAUACUUCAAAACACCUAAAUCUUUCAUGUGAAAACACUGGCGCAAGUAUGAUUUGAAUGCAUUGAUCAAAUGCGUUUUGUUUCCAGCUAUAAUAAGGUCAUCCACGUAUACUAACACAGCCAACUGGAUCCCAUCUCGUAUCAAAGUAAACAAGGAAUAAUCAGACUGUGACUGAAGAAAACCAUACCGUUUUAGAGCUUCAGCCAAUUUUGCAAACCAACAACGCGGUGCUUGUCGUAAACCGUAAAGGGACCUUCUCAAGCGACACACCUUCCCGGGUUGGUCAGUGUGAAAUCCAGGAGGUAGUUUCAUAUAAACCUCUUCGGCUAAGUCUCCAUGGAGAAAGGCAUUAUGAACAUCCAUUUGAUGAAGUCCCCAUCCCUUAGCUGCUGCCACAGAGAGAAAUGUGCGGACCGUAACCAUUUUUGCUACUGGUGCAAAGGUUUCAUUGUAGUCGAUCCCUUCAACCUGGUUGUUGCCAAGAAUUACCAAUCGCGCCUUGUAUCGUUCAAUGGUCCCAUCAGAAUUAUACUUAAUUUUGUACACCCAUUUGCUUCCUAUUGCUUUCUUCCCUGGUGGUAAGUCAACAAGAGUCCAUGUGCCAUUUUGUUUGAGCGCAUCAAUCUCUUUUUGCAUAGCUUCUCUCCAUCGGACAUCUUUAACCGCUUGAUGAUAAAAUCUUGGCUCAAAAUUGGUUGUGAUGGCUGCCAAGAAAGCUUGAUGACCUGGUGAGAACUUUGUGUAAUCAACAUAUUGAGCUAAGUCAUAAGACGUACCUGAGAAUGGUGAUGGAUUGGCUGAACUUGCAGAGGGACUUGCACUUUGAACUGCAUAAGUCACACAAUCCUUCAGCCGUGUAGAGACUUUCUUGGAACGAAGGCCACGACCAAGUGCUGUCACACCUUCUACUGUCUCUACGUUCUCCAUUCGAGGUUCAAUUGUUACACCUCCCUGCCUUACGUUGGCAUUGUCAUUCGGCACACAAUCUAAACGUUCAUGAGUUUCACGAACAUGAGCAAGCUGCUCCUUUUCCUUGUCUCUUGUCUGACCGACUACCUCUUCUUCAAGGUAAUCAUCUAUUGAAUUAUCCGUACAGGUUCGAACAUGAUCAGGUGUGUGGUCAACUGCACAUGGAAACUCAUCUUCACAAAAUACAACAUCCCGAGACACGAAAUACUUUCGUGUUUCUAAAUCAUACAACCGCCAACCUUUCUGUCCAAACGGAUAACCCACAAAGAUACACUUCCGGCUUCGAGGAGCAAAUUUGUCCUUCGUACGAUUCAAACUCUGUGCAUAACACAAGCAACCAAAUGUACGAAUUGACCGAUAAUCAGGCAAGUGACCAUAUAGCAUUUCAUAAGGUGUUUUUCCUCCUAGUAAUUGAGAAGGGGUACGAUUAAUCAGAUAUCCAGCAGUUAACACACAUUCUCCCCAAAAUCUGAUUGGUAAGUUGGUCUGAAAUCGUAAAGCUCUAGCCACAUUCAGUAUAUGUCGAUGCUUUCUUUCCACUCGUCCAUUCUGUUGGGGCGUUCCCACACAUGAAGUUUGAUGGAUUAUCCCUUUAGCAGAGAAAUAUCCCUUCAAACUGACGAACUCACUGCCAUUAUCACUACGAACUAUCUUAACAUUCUUAACAAAUUGUCGUUGAACCAUAGCAACAAAAUUUGGCAAAAUAUGGCCAACUUCAGUUUUAUCUAUCAUCAAAUAUAUCCACACACAUCUGGAAAAAUCAUCAACAAUCGUAAGAAAAUAAGAUGCAUUACAAGAACUCGAGACUCGAUAUGGUCCCCACAAGUCACAAUGAAUCAAUUCAAAUGUUUCACUAGCUCUACUAUCACUAGAACAAAAUACUUCUCUCGUUUGCUUAGCUUUAAAACAAGCAUCACAAGUUUCAUUUGAACCUAAUUGAAUCUUAACCCCAGAAAUUAAACCUACGACCUUUGAAGACGGGUGCCCCAUUCUCCGAUGCCAAAGAUCACAUGAAUCCAACGUCCGAGUUUGAAGUGCUUGGACUGGCGUCUUCUUUUUGAAGUAAUAAAGCCCCUUGCAUCGUUCACCCGCUCCAAUCACCAUCCUCGAAGUGCGGUCCUGUAUCAAACAAAGCUUAUCAGUGAACAACACAUUACAUUUUGAGUCAUCAACCAAUUGUGAUACUGAGAUUAAAUUGCAAUGUAAUCCCGGAGCAUGAAGAACAUUGUCUAAUUGAAUAUUUUGUCCCAUCCGAAUCGACCCUUUUUGCAAUGCCAGCACCUGUUCUCCAUUAGGCAAGCCAAUGGGACAGCCUAAUAUCUGGUUCAAGCUAGAUAGAUAGCUCGAAUUUCCUGUCAUAUGUUGUGUAGCGCCAGAAUCAAUUAUCCAGAUAAAAUUUUCCUUACCAGUCAUCUUCUCAUUACUCCCUGAUUCUGAGUUGCAAGCGUUCAACAAACUCACAACUGCUGCCCAUUGUUCAUUUGUCAGUCCUUUAGGAGUAGCAAAAUCCUUUGUUGCAGCAGUGGAUUCUUCAAUUACUUGAGCUGCAUUAACUCGUGCCCCAUUUCGUCCUCUUCCUGACAUCUUGCCACGUCCUCUUCCUCCAGUCUGUCUUCCUCGACCUGAACCAGACAUUUUAGGUCGAUCACCCCACCAAUCGGGAUAUCCAAUCAGCUGAAAACAUCCAUCAGCAUCAUGCCCUUCGCGAUUGCAGUAUUUACAAACGGCACUCCUAUCCUUGAUUCCUGUUUUGGCCUGAACCACAAAGCUAGCCGCUUCGUUGUUAAUCUCUUUUUCCCUGGAGAUAUUUCGAACCCUUUCUUCUUGGCACAUCAAGGAAUACGCCUUGCUCACACCAGGCAAUGGAGUUGUGCUCAAAAUGUUUGAUCUCACUGUUCUAUAUGCAUCGUCUAACCCCAUCAGAAAUUGGUGAAGUUUUUCUUCUUCUCGUUUCUUUGUUAAUUCAGUUGCCACAUUACACGUACAACCCCCACACUUGCACGUAGAGAUUGCGUCAUAAUUCACCAGUUCUUCCCACAGUCGCUUCAAUUUAGCAUAGUAACUCAUAAGGGAGAGUCCUUGCUGUUUGCAAUUUGCUAAUUCUGUCUUCAGUUGCUGUACUCGUGCACCAUCAGUCACUGAGAAACAUUCUUUAAUGUCUUCCCACAAGUUCUUUGCAAUCUCCCUGUGUGUCAAAGUAGAUCGCACCGUUGGCUCAAUCGUAUUCAUCAUCCACGAUAUAAGCAUGGAAUUCACUGUCCACCAGUCUUCUAAUUCAUCGGAAUCUUCAUCUGGCUGUGCUAUGGUUCCAUCAAUGAAUCCGAAUUUCUUCUUGGCCCUGAGAGCAGUUCGGAUUGCUCUAGCCCAUUCAUCGUAAUUAUCCUCCUUCAACUGUACCUGGGUGAUUAUAUUUCCAGGAUUAUCAUUGGCAUACAAGGUGUAUGGCGACACUAUUUUCUUUCCAUCUCCUUCCAUGUUUUUCCAGUUGACAGAAGGUUCUUGCUCUGAUACCAUGAAAAGGUUUCAGCGGAAGAAGUUUUCAUUCCUGUUUCUUACGCAUUCGUCAAGGAUAUAUAUACAUACAGCCCAAACCGUGGAUAUCGCUACCGAUAGCUACUGAUCCUAUUUGAAUACCAGUAUAGCUAAGGAUAACACCUAAUCAGCUAGAUAUCUCUUUACCAAUUCAAACUGAUAACCAACUCUGUUACAGAGAUAUACAUUAACUCUGUUACAGAGAUAUACAUUAUCCCUAAUAAAUAUCAAGAAUUGAAGUUGAGAAAGUAUCAAAACAUGGUUACAACUGAAGUUGAGAAGCAAAAUGAAAUACUUGUCCAAAUUGUUCUGUCUUUCAAGUUCUCCAUCUGUCGAAGGCUUUGACCUUUUUUUUUGUUCUUUGGUCGAUACGAUAGACCUACAAUUAUUAUAUGCUACAGGAAGGAAAGAACCUGAAGAGGUCAAAAGAAAAUCGGAGAAGAUUGAAUCACCUAUCGAAGUCACUUGAAGUGGCUUGCCACAUUAUUGUAGCCAACGGUUUAUGCCUGACCUCCCACCCCACCAACUUUGAUCAUCCUAGUUUUCUUUGCUAGUAGCAGUACAUAUACAAUACAAAUUGUGCACCUGGACUUCAUUUCCAUGCAGUAACCGUACAAAGUAUUUGACAAACGGUGUUCUGUCUCUGUCAUCUGGGAAUGCAACCAUGCCUAUAAUAGUGGAUUCACCAAGAAUUCGACCCAAAAAAUAAAUUUAAAAGGAAAAAUGUCUAUCUCAACACAAACCAAAAUACUGCAUUCCAGCUAGAAAGCAAUAAUCACUCCAUAGGAAAAAAUUUCUGGGGAUUUGCCUACGUCACAUUCAUCCAAUACGUUCAAACAAGAUUUCCGGUGCCGGUGAAAUUAAUUUUUUGAUCAAAUUUGCUUAAAUAAACACGUAAAGGAACCGACAUGGCAAAUUGAAAUUUAUGCACAGAUAUGAUAUGACAGAUGAGGUGAUGCCUCCAGCAAGUUGGUUUAGUCAACAAACAAAUUGAAAAAAAGUCAAUAAUACUGAGAUGGCCAUUAAUGGGGUCCGACAAUCUUGACUUCAAUCCUUCAUCUGCUCAUCGUAAUCUGGAACCGUGUCCAUGGUCUAGUUGGUGCGUAGUAGUAGCAGCAGUGCAAAAUUUAAAGCCCAUUGAUAAAAAGCUGAUUUGACCAUAACCAUAGAGCUGCAUAGACUGGCUGGCUCACGAAAAAAAAAUCAAAUGCGUGUGGACUCUUACAGUUAUGCUCUGAUGAAAAAAUGAAAAUUUUGGAGCCUUAUCUGCCUUGACCUGAUGCUUAAUUCAAUGCGCGGUUGUCCAAGUCCUCCAUCUCCCCAGUCCCUAGCUACCGCGCCCUUCUUGUUAUUCGAUUACGCGAUUCCUGCUUGCAGAGGAAGAAUUGGGAUCGGAAUCAUAUUUGCUUUGGAAACGAGACGAAUGAUUAAUUCAGCUCGUUUUGAUUGCUAUUUUCUAGAUUUUUUUUAUAAAAAAUUAUACUGUAACGAUUUAAUAUAUGUGAGGUAAAAAAAUAUUUAACAAAUAUGAUUAUGAAAAGCGUGAAAGUUUUUUUUUUUUUGGCAGAAUACUUCAAUCCAAACAAGAACUUGCUACAAAUGGCGAAGGACAGAGGGCAACAUCUACCAAUUUGAUUUUCAUUGAAUGAUCUCCUAAUGGUCUGCCCGACAAUUAAUUCUUGAUACCCAUUGACCAAUUACUCGUUAGGAAAUCUUGGAUGCACUGUCGAUGUUAGGUUAGAAUUUAUGUCAAGCGCAUUGACAGUGGACCUUUUAAAGUACAAAUAUUUAACACAACGCUAUAAGUAUCGAAUUUAUGUCAGGUGCAUUGAUUCUCCUUUUUAGUUCUCUUGUUGAUCCUCCUCCGUUGGCAGUAUAGAGUUUUAGAUCGCUAUGAUAAUUCAUGGCUCCUGAUAUUUCCAUUUUUUUUUCCAUGUUUCGUUUACAUUUUACUUUCACAUAUACAAGUUCUUCAGAUUUUUGAUUGAUGCUAAAACACAUGAAGGAAAUUAAUACUACCUAUUUAAGGUACGUAACUGCACAUAAAAUAAUACAAAGAUAAUUUUUCUAAACACUGUCCAAGGUACAGGUGUGACGCCCCGAAAAGUAUAAGUGUGAGAACCCGGAAAUUUUCUAAUUUUUUAGGGUUUAUUUUUUUUAAUCGCCCGCCUUUUCUACAUUUUCUUUAUUAGAAAAAUUUUUCAGAUAAAGUUUAUGAGCAAAGAUAGUUUUAAAAUGAUUUUUCUAGUAUCGGUUAGUUUUUGAGAAAUUAAGAGCGUAUUUUGAACGUGGGACCCGCAAGUGCGGUAAAUGCAUUAUAUUUUUGACAACUUGUUGGAAUUUUGUAUUAAGUGAUAUUAUUUUACAAAGUGUUAAGAUAUUUGUAUUGGAGAGACAAAAAGAUAAGUUUUGAACCAAAAGGUGACAAGUGUCACCAUAAGAUUAAGUCUUGGGUUUGACUACUAUUCAUAACUUUACCAUUUAAUUAAAAUUGACCAAAAAUCUCUUCAUUUUGCAAGCUUCUUGGCUGAAGGUUCUUGCUCAAGAAAGAAAGAAAAGCUCUCAAUUUCUUCCUUCUAUUUCUUGCUCAAUCUUCAAAUCCAACCAAUAAAACUCCAAAUCAUUCCAUAAAAUCUCUUUGCUAAGUGGUCUUGAGGUGUUUUGUGGAGUUGUUUGGAAAGCUAAGGUGAUUUGUUGCUCUAUCUCUUGUAUGGCUAAGGUGAGUUGUGAAGAACCACUCUCCUCCCUUAAUUGAUGUUUAAUUCAUGAUUGGUGGUGGUAUAAGAUGCACUUUUAUGGAUUAUAUCUUGAUUUUGGUUGAAUUGGUGAAGUUUUAUAAUUUUUGGGGAUUUUUCUGUUUUCAUAUGGAUAUGAUUAUGGGGUCAUGUAUGAUGAUUGGAAAUGAUGUUUAAUGACUCUAGGAGGUGGAAAAAGGGAUUAAUUACAAUCAAUUUCUGUUUUGGAAGAAAAUUGAAAAACCUAGGGUUCAUGAAGCUACAUUCUGUCCGAAUUUUUAGGUCCUAUAUAGAGGCCGAAUUGGCCUUAGCUUAAAACAUGAAAGUUGUAGGGAAUGACAUUUUAGAGGUACCUACAAAAUUUCAGGUCAAUCAGAGUAGUGUAGAAUGAGAUAAGUCGAAAUUACUAUUGCUGUUCUGGUUUUACCCGAAUGUAAGAAUUGCGCCUGUAAUUGGUUGUUUUGGCUGGAAUUGCUUCCGAAUUGGUUGUUGAGGUCUUCUGAUGAAAUGUAUCCCUGUUUCUUAGAUUUCAGCUAGUUUUGGAAUUUCUGGAUUUGGACUUGGAUAGCCUGCUUUAUGAUGUUUCCGCUAGAAUGCGUUCUGUGAAUCUAUUUUUCCGGUUCUGGUGUAGUUUCUUGCAUUUUUGACCUGGUUACACUCGAAACUGGGUUGAGUGACCUUCUGUGAUGUUGUAACCCUAUCUCUUAGCUUCGAAACGGUGUAUCUUGCACCUUCAUCCGACAAUCGUAGCGCGAUUACCGUAAAAUGAUGUCAAAACCUGUUUUUCUGGUUUUGAGCUUAACUUUCAUUUCCGGACUUUUCCCUAGCUUGACUUGUACUUGUACUACUUGGAGCUUGCUGAAUGGCUAUUGAAUGAACUUGUUGUUGUGUGUGUACCUUUGGGUUGGAAUGAGGAAAUAAUGAAGCCAUGAUGGCUGGAAAAGUUAACAAAUUCAGGGGAAGUGCUGUCCGAACUUUGAAGGGAUUUGUUUGCAUUGAGUUUGUGAUCUAAGACUUGGAUUUGCGCAAGGCAAUGUUAUAUGCUGGAUGAUUUCUGAGCCAUGGAGGUGAGUGACCCUAAACUAUUUCCAAAGUACUUGUGAAAUGUUUCUUGCAUUAUGUACUCGAUUGCAUCUCAUGCGUGCUUGCAUGUGAAUUCAUGACAUGAUUUGGCUUCAAUGAGUUCUGGGAAAGUCUUGUGCUGGACACCAACGUCUCCACCAUUUUCGUGAGUUCGUGACAUGACGGAGCAAAUGGCUCCGGAGCUCAAAAAGGGGCUCCCUCCUAAUGUUAAUGUUAAUGUUAAAUGAUCUAUUUGAGCGUUGGGUGUUCAAGUGCUGUGAUUUCACCGGCUCACGAGAGCACUAAACGUACAUUUGAUCUCUGAAUCAUGACAUCAUCGAAAUGAUCGAAAUGCAACAUUGUGAAAUAUAUUUGUUUAAUGAUUUUCCUGGUUACUCGCUGAGCUUCUAGCUCACCCCAAAAAUAUUUUAUUCCCCUCCACAGGGCUCAAAGCGAAGGAAGGACUUGUUGUGCUUAUUCACAUGUCUGGAUGGCCUAUAUCUUGUACAGUUUGGAUUUGGAAAUCAUUUUUAUGUAUAGUUGAGAAUUGUUUCCGCUUCGCUUAUGACAUGUAAUUUUUGGAGAAUUUGAUGUAUAUUGGAGAUUUAUAUUGUAAUAUUUGAGGUUUAUUCUUGUAAUUCAUUGAGGACUGUAGUGAACGACUGAAUCCCGGCGAGAGCUGGACAGGCGGCCCGCCGAACCCUCUGGUUCGCCUUAGGGGGAGGUGGGGCUGUCACAACAGGUGCGCAGGAGGAGGGUUGAGUUGGUUAUUAAGGUGAGAGAGAUUAAAAGUAGAAAAUCCUUGAUUUACAACAUCCCACUUUAAAAAAAAAAAAAAAAAAGGUACAAAUACACAACAAAUUUUAAAAGGGAUUUUUGCUUGUUUACAUACUCAAAAAAUGUUAUCUCCAUCGAUUAAUAGACUUUCCUGACUAAAUUUCAUUUUUACCAAAAAUAAACAUGUACUCCCCAUUUAAUCCUAACCCUAGGAGAUAUGUUAGACCAAGUCAUUGAAGAAUUACUGAUUUAUACUACAAAAACAAGGCAUGUAAUGAACAUGAAUAACCUUUGUCUUCUGCUUUGUAUUUUGACAAUUUUUAAACAGUUUCAGGAGCUAUAUAUAUAUAUAUACACACACACCCGUCACCUUUGAGUCUUUAAUGGCAACUAGCUGCCAGCAAUGUAUUGAGGUUACCGAGGGAUCUCAUGUUAAUUUGCACCUCAUGAUGUUUAUUCUUUUAAUUUAUACUAGUUUAAAUUUUGCUACCAAUAAUAAAGUACUAUGAGAGAAAAAAAUUGUCAUCUUCGGUAGCCAAAGAAAAAGAGUAGGAUUUAGACCAUUAUAGUCCAUAGUUUUGCCUUGGUCUGCAGUAUUACGAUGCAUGAGUGCAUGAAUACAUUAUAGACCAUUCAAACAAGUAAUGACCCUAAGACUUGGAAGUGUCUGCCCGUGCAUCACUUCACCUUUUAUAGCAAGUAACAUAAAUAUAUAUAUGCUAUCUAUAUCUCACUGUAGUUUAAAAGAAAUUUCUGGUUCAAAGAACCAAGGCGAGUAGUCAAGUUACCUCCUGUUGUUGUUGUUGUUGUUGUUUUUUUCCCCUCUUCUGUUUUUGGUUCAAUUGAGAUUCUCGGAGUGCUGAUAUUUGUCUCGUGGAAUGUUAUGAAUAGAUUAGAAGUCAUAAGCACAAAAAUGGGUGCUUAGACAUAUUAUUCAGUAAAGAUAUAUGAUCAAUCUAAAGUUUCAUGAAAUGCGAUUUCUUCGACAACUAGCAUGCCCUAAUUAAUCUCACUUAGAACUAGCUGCUACAAAUGUAACGAAGGUUCGAUUCACUUUGCGUUACAAAUUAGCAGUGAAUAGUGACUCGGCAUUCUUGGAUUUUGUUGCGAAUUCAUAAAAUGCUCGACUAGAUUAAUGUCAUCGUGAGGGAGUAUUAAGUUGCACGGUACAAUGAUAGGAAAUUGUAAGUAGCAUGUAACGUUACACAACAAAAUAAUCCAGCCAAACCGAUGUUCAUGAAUCCAUAGCAAGGCCUUAGUCUUUUGCGCAAGAAAACGUUUUACUAGUAAGGAAUGCAAGGGGCGAAAGUAAGAGGAAAACAAAAUCCAGACAAUGAAUCGAACCCUCAAUCCUCAUUUCUAAGAACAGUGAACGAAAGAAUCGACCGUCCAAUACCAAUGAAAUUUCCAUAAAGGUCCGUUCUACACAAUUUGGAUGAUAAAUAACAACGCAGCCUUCCACUAGUGCACACUUAGACCACUCCCACCACCAAUCCAAAUGUCCCUCCCUCUUGUGUCAAAAGUCUAUUGGAUCAUAUCCAAACAACGCGCAGCACAACAGCCAGUAGUGAAAAGGAACUGGAAAUAUCCAACAAAUGUCAACGUAUUUAUUAGGAUAAUGGUUCUUUACAGGAAUGUGCAAUAAUUAAUGCAUCCCUUCUCCAACCUACCCUUCAUUGACGCACAUAUGGUCACACUGCCAAUUCGAGGUUGGUCCGAACAUGUACGAUUGGUGUGUGUGUCUGUCUUCAAUUAGCACUAUAAGAUUUAAUGUACAAAUCAAUACUAAAUUCAGCGAUUGUCAAUUUUACGUUUUUGAAUGCUCAUCAAUUAUACAUUUUUCAUACACGAGCUAGUACAUAUUUGUUCAGAGAUCAAAUCUCUUAUUCUGCAUUUUAAAAAUUUAGAAUUUUUUAAAAGAUUUUAUUAGCAGGUGCUAGACGUUCGUUUGGAUUAAUAGUGGUUCAAUUCCGUUCAAAUUUCUUUCUUAAUCCCUUUGAAUCCCCUUUCCUAGUAUAGAGUAAGAGUAAAUAUAGAAUAGAAUCUAUCGUAUCUAACUAGAAAAAAAAAAAAAAGGAGUUGGUAUUUUUUUGUACAUCAAUUCUUACGGCAAAUACACCAGACUCAACACAAUGGCACCAAAUUGGUAUUUGCACCAAGUGCCCACAGUCAUACACGCACAGAUGCACACAGCUCAUGCAAAGAAAAAGUGGCAAUAGCCAAAGAACCCCCCCCCCCCCCCAACUGCCAUCCACUUGUCAGCUUUCUUGCUCUCCCCAUCUUAAAUGCUUGCCUUUUUAACUCCUUUUACUACUUAAAUGUUCUUCUCCUUAUUGUUGUCUUCCAACUCCUUGAAGCUGAACAGCUUAUAACGUCAAAUUCAAAAAAUCCCACAAAACAAGAAACCUCUCUCCUCAGAAUCAUGAAUUCCAUAGCUGCCACCUCUGUCAUCCUAGCCAUCUUCUUGAUUCUCGCGGCCUCCUCUUCCUCCGCAGUCCGACCCGACCCGAAUCACCCCGAUCACGCCACAGAUGAAAAGCCCCACCAGAGCCAGAGCAAAGGUGGGGGUGGUGAUGACAGCGGUGGGUAUGGAGGGUUCUUCGGACCCGGAGGUGGGUUCAACAUACCCGGGUACGGAACUGUUGGUGGGUACGGAGGGUACGGAGCCGGGUAUGGAGGUCCGAGCGGAGGGUACGGCAGAGGUGGCAUCAUAAGGCCAACUGUUGUGUGCAAGGAAAAAGGCCCCUGCUACCAGAAGAAGCUGAUUUGUCCCGCCAAGUGCUUCAGCUCAUUUAGCCGAUCUGGAAAAGGGUACGGCGCCGGUGGCGGUGGCGGUGGCUGCACCAUGGAUUGCAAGAAGAAAUGUGUUGCCUAUUGUUAAGCACAUAAAGCUGGUGGCUCCUCUAUGGUUGGGUUGGGCUCGGCGUUCUUGGUUACUACUGCUACUACUACGACUACUAAACUAGAAAAUGGUAUGGUGGCUGCUUUUGUUGCAAGAGUUUUCUAUAGUUACAGAAGUAUUUUAAGUAUUAAUAUGACUAUAUAAAGAAAAAAGGCCAUGUGAUGUAACUUAUGGUAUUGUUACUUGGUGUAAUGUGCGAGUAUGUGAGCUUAAUUAUGCAGCCAAUGAGAUAUUGUGAGGUAUUAUGGUAAUUUGGGUGUGAAUUUGGUCCUUUUUUUUUUGGGGUGAUUUAUGCUUGACAAUUUUAAUUCUUGAAGAUUUAAUUUGACCUGCGAGGAUGAAGUGAUGAUGGAGAUUAGCUGUUGGGUGUUUGGUCUAGUUCUUGAUUCACUCAUCUUUUCUUGAUUUUGUAACAAGUUUAAUGGUUACAUGGAUGCAAUACAAGGCUGACUUAUGGAUGGUUACAUGGAUGGUGGUGUUGUUGACUUGUUAUUUUCAUAGCUAAUUUUCGAUCGGGCCAUGAUAUUAACCAGAAAUUGUAACCAACUCUCCAAUUUAAGAUAGAUAGAUAGACGACAAAAGACCGGUGAGAUCUUUAUUGCGGGGGUAUCCUCUCCAAACCCUGAUUUGGGUUAUGUUUAUCCGCGUUCCAGGAAGGAUCCUCACCGACUCCACUUCUUCUGUUAUCGAAUGGAUAAUUUGGAAACUUUCAAAACUAAAAAAUCCUACAAGAGAAAGGAUUAUCGCCUAAUCCCAGAACAAACCAGACGAUUUCUGCUUUCCUGAUCCCAUCAUUCUUUAGAAAUAGCUCUUUUAGCUAUGUAUAAACAAAUCAAGACCUCGUCCACCCCUACAAAUUUAAGAGAAGUAAUCCAACAUAUUAUCAUUAACAGCAUCAUCACCAAUAGCUCCAUACCGUUCCAUACUUCGAUUGAGUGUAAAGCUAUGGAUCCACCGUUGUGUGACAGAGGGUGCGGUUUCUAUGGAAGCCCAGCUACCGAAAAUCUGUGUUCAAAGUGCUACAAAGGUCAUCUCAAAGAAAAAGAAAAAGAAGCUGCAGAAGCAGCAGCAGCCAAGAAUUUUGUCCCUGCUUUGCCUGUUCCUUUAGCAAGAGUUGGUUCUACGGUUUGUGACACUACUGAUAAUAAAAGAGCAAAGGUUGAAGUUUCUGGGUCUAGGAAAAGAUGCGAAUGCUGCAACAAGAAGGUAGGAGUAAUCGGGUUUGAUUGCAGCAGCAGAUGCGGGGGGAGUUUCUGCGGCAUUCAUAGGUAUCCAGAGGAGCACGCGUGCAACUUCGACUUCAAGAGUUUUGGUCGUGCAGUUUUGGCCAAGCAAAAUCCCGUUUGCAAAUCGGAUAAGCUAGAGACUAGAAUUUGAUUAGAGCCCACGCAUUCAAUCAAUGGUUAUAGCCCAUGCUAGAGACUAGAAUUUCACUAUAUCCAUGUGUAGAGGAACCAGAUCUUUUGCAUUUCAAUCUAGAUUACGUUACCAAACUAGGAAACGAUGACUUUUGGACUCCAAACUCUCUCCAAUCUUGCACCAAGCAGAGCAUAAGCUCAUUCUAGACUAUAUCCAUCGUAUGCUCAUGUUUAACGGUUUAGGUUUCAAGAUCACAGAGGUUAGACUGAAAAUGUUUUAAAGGUAUUUUUUGAUAAGUUGGAGGUCUUGAACUCUGACAAGUAUUUGGAUAAAUUCAAUCCACCGGAUUGUGGACCGUGUGGUCAAAAAUCUCGCUACCUGACUUCUUUACUAAAAUGUCUGAAGAUUGCUGAGUAAAAAGGGCGAUGUGACUUAUUUAUUUUCACAAGAUGUAUUUUCAGAUGAAAGAUCGGGUCUAUGUAAGACUUUACCCUUGAAUCCAGAACUUCUACUUAUUGUUAUUUCCACCUUACUGCCCAUCUAUUUUAUCGUGGCAAUACGAAGAGUCCAUGUAACCUUUUUAUCAGUCCUAUACUUUUAACAAAACGAGUAUGUUUUGACUGCUUGAAAUGUUUUAGAAUACUCCAGUACUUUUUAUGUUUGUUUUCUUUUUCUGAAGAAGUUGGGAUCGACAAGUAGAAGAAAAGGGAAAUUUUGAGUCUUAAAAAAGAAAAAUAAAAGAACGACGACAAGAAGAUGGGAAAUUACAUCUAACGGUAGCAUUUAUUAUGUAAAGAUGGGAAAUUACUUAUUGACAUCUUUUAACUUUUUGUGCGUUUUGGCAUUGUAACUAAAAGCACGGUCCGUUUAAAUUAGUAACGAGUGCGAGGAAUAUUGAGCAAUAGAAUGUUCAAGUAUUAGUUUUUUUUUCUUGGGGAAAAUAGUAAAAUUAAAUGGAGAAAGUAUCUAAACACAAACGUCAUAAUAAAUGUGAAUCUAUCUGUUCCAAUAAGUUGUGAAUCUAUGAUAUGUAUUUUUUUUUAUCUUUUUUCAUUGGGAUAAUUUGUGUGAUUUCACAUUUGAUUGCUUUUUCUCGGGUCUCAAAAGAAAAAAAAAAGUCGUGUCUCGUGAUGAAUGUGCCUGAGCACAUCUAAAGAUUGAUGGGUUGGUUUAAGACUCAUAAUACCAAAUGGAGGGGAAUCAACUUUAGUUUUGGAAUGCAAUCUUUCUUCCAAAAAAAAACAUUUUAUAUUUUUAAUGAAAGCACUUUCUAGUCAUAUUUUUGCCUCGUUACAAUACAUUUUUCUAUAAAAGCUCUAGAAAAUAACAAUCCAAAAUAUCUGGAAAUUGUACCGGUUUGUUUGGAUAGUGUAUUAUUUGAAAUAUUAUUUGGAAUAAUUACUGUAGCACUUUUUGUGAUGUGAUGCAUGUGAGAUAAAAAGGUGAUUGAGAAUAUAAAAAGGUGGAUUGGAAAAUGUGUUUAUGAUGCAAGCGAAAUAUUAUUUGGGAUAAAAGCACUAUCCAAACAAACCGGACUCGGCAAUCCAUGUUCGUAUAAUAUUGUGCGCAAACGGAAUACAAGCAGUUUCAAGGGGGGGAAAAUUAAAAACAUCAAUGAUUGGAGUCUUGGAGAGUCAGUAAAGUUGGAAACUAGGAAGUCAGCAUUACCAUUUAGUUUAUUAUAUAAGAAGUUCUCCAAAUUGACAACAAAACAAACCACACAUUUAUAGGCAAAUGCUGAUGAAGAAUCCAAGGAAGGGAUAAGAUCAUCAACCGUCCCUGAAUCAUAUUAUAUGCCGAAGAUAAUCUUUUUGACUUGCACGUUAUAUACUAUUUUGAUGGUUUCUAUGGUUUCCUAAAAGUUUAUCAUCACAAGAAUGUCAAUCUUUUUCUUUUUCUUUUCCGGAAACGAUAGGUGGCUAGAUUGUCAAUCAUUCACGGCUAAAAUGGCGUUAUUGCUUGACAAUUGACAUGGGCCGCCAGCACAAAGACUUGUAGACAUCGCAUUUCCCCAAGAAACGCGUUUUCUUGUUAGAGAGUACAAAGAAUUUUGCGUUGAAAUUGUUCCACCACUGGCCAGUGCCCACUGUAAGUUGCCUAUUUCUACCGACGACGGUCUGCGUUACCGCCUUGUUUGUAUUCGCAUCUCUCUGCUAUUGUCUCCCCUUGAUUGUAUGAUUAUCCUGUUAUUUAUAAAAAUUUGUAUCGUAGAUAUGUUUUUCAAUCACUUUGUUGUCUCACAUGUAUCAAAUUUUUGUUAAAAGAAGGUACUACAUCAUUUUUUUUUAAAAAAAAAAUUCAAUUAUUCUCCUAUAUAAGGAUCAUAGUUAGUAAAAUAUAGGACGGGUAUAAUAUGAGAUAUUAUACAUACUACAUGAAAUCUUUUUCAAAAGUAUACUUAAAAAUUUGACGUAAAAGUAUGUGCUUGGCAAAAUUACGCAUAUAAAUUUGUAUGUAAAGAAUAUGAAUAUAUUUGAAAGUUAUGUAACUAAAAAUGCAAACAAAUUUACUGUAGUUUUAAAAAACUAUGCUAUAUUUAUACUAAUUUUAAAUUCAUUAUUGCAUACAAGAUGUUAAAUUUAUUAAAAUUUUAUCACUUUAUUACUUAUAUAUGUAUAAAUCUAAAAUUAUUAUAAGAUCUAUUGCUCUUAUUUUGUAUAUGACUAAGAAGUAUACCAUGAUCCUCGUUCAAAUUUUAAAUUUCUCAAAAAAAUUGAAGUAUAAAUUGUGAAGCAUACUAUGUUAAAAAUUUAUUAUGAGUUUUAUAUGGUUAAUUGAAAAGUACAAAUAUUUUUCAGAAUAUUUUUGAUAUGUACAAAAUAUGGAAGUGUUUUGGACGAUAUGUACGCACGUGUAUUGUGUAAGUAUAAUAUGAGUAUUUACUAACUGAACUAAACACAAUUAUAUUCCCACACUUGCAGCCAAAAAACAUAGGAAUAAAUAAAUAAAAAUAAUUACCAUUGGCCUUUGGCAGAAAAUUAGGGUUACUGUCCAUUUCGAGUAACGCAUCACUCGAACUCUACCCGUGUAAAAAUGCUUGAGUUUGAACUCGAGCUCAAACUUGUCAAGUUCUUCAAAAUUAAGUUUGAACUCAAGUUGGAGCUUCUUUUAUCCUAACAAAUUGAGCUCAAUCGAAUUUUCAAACUUGAUUAAUUAAAAAUUAGAUCAUAAAUACACUAUUUGAUAGUACUUGAUGAAUAAUUAAAUUUUAAUUUUUCUAUUAGAAUUCAACUCAAUUGCUUUAUCAAGUAGUUUGAACUCGACUCGAAUUCAAUCAAUGUCGAGCUCGAUUCGAAUCUUUAACGAGCUUCUACUUGCAUACCCAAGUCGAACAACUCAAUUAGUUUACGCCCCAACGGAAAAUCAUGCUAAUGCAUGGUCACGCCUCCCGAUCAUCACAUUGUGCACGCGUCUACACCAAUCUCAUCUGAAACAUCGUGAAAUGUCGCGCAUGGUACACCUGUGUUUUAUGUCUGUGAACUAAAAUACUCCAGUAACGUCCUUGUGCAUUCGCGUACCUGCAUCAUUAUCAUCACAACCAACCGCUACUACUGGAUUAUACGCUGUACGGAGUGCGUAUUAUUACGGGCAAAAGGUCCCAAUUCUGGACACAGCUAUUCAUGAUCAUCGGCGGAUUGAUGCACUUUAAAUCGAUACCCAUCCAUCUUCCAAACAAUCACCAUCCCCACAACCAUUCUCCAAUCUUCCACUUUUUAUACACCAUUGCUGGUAUCAACUCAACUCGUUUUGCCACUCACUUUCUCCUGCUUUCGUGGUCGUUACAAGCUUUGAUUCAACUCAUUUGCAAAGGAUCACUUGCAUUGCUCUCUCUCUCUCUCCUCCUCCCUGAAGUUGCAUCAACUCCAACCUUCAAUACUCUCGACAGAAUGAAUCAGAGGCCCAUAAACUUCAAGCGCCUAGAUUUAGUCACGCCCUUGCAGUUUGGCAGGAUAAACAUGCAAUGUGCUCAAAGUACCUAAACACAUUCAGCAAUCAAAGCUUGUGGCAGGAAAGAACCAGAGGGCGAAAAUGCUGCAACUUAAAGCUACUGCGUUAAACAAUCAGGUAUGACAAUCUGUUGUCAGCAGUUUAGAUGCACCCUUAAAGGGGCAUUAUGAAAGCAACCUUUCUCUAGCAAAAGUAAAGAACAAACUACCCAAAGCGCUCAAUGAGACAAAAUUGAAUAAACUGAAUCUCAGCGACAAAUUUACAGAGGGGCAAAGUCUAUAGUUUAAGCAUACAGCAGAUCUGGUAUACCUUGUCAUAUGUCCAAUGAUCAAUCUCUAAGUGUAGUUUUUGUAACAAACAAAUAUGACUAACAUAACAAAAAAUGAACACUCAACUAGAUGUAAGAUCCACUGCUCUCAAGAGCUAUAAAAGCAAGGUAACCCCAACCAACACCUGACUGCCAGUCGGCUGAGCAGUUGAACGCAUUACACUGCAGAUCUCAACGCUCCUCUAGCAGCCUCUCGCUUCAUCUCUGCAGCUUUGCCACUGCCUCGGAAAUACAUGUACACUUGCUGCAGUAUGAGAAAGCAAGAGCCAGCAAAAAGAAAUGAGAACAAACUUUUUAGGUAGAAUACGAGGAGGAGAAGGGUGAAUGUAAUAUAACCGAGUAACUUCAAGCACAAGCAACAAAUUUAGACCUGAAUAACCCAAACGCUGAGAACUGAUUCAAGACAGAACAGACCAAACCCAAUGAAGUAGAAAACCUGUUAAAGGAGAAAAUGCAAAUAUGAAUAUCUUCCAAAAUUGUUGCUAAUAUUACAUAAUUAGAGAACCAGAUGUUGAGAUGUGGAUACAAUGCAUAAAGAACUUUAAGGCAGAGUUACACAGUUGCAAGUCAUGCUCAAGAGAGCAAAAUAAGAAUGAUAUUUACCCCAACUAAGACCUGCUUGCCGACGAGGUCUACAGCAGGCAGGAUACCCCUGUUCCAAAAAACCACACAAUAUUAGAUUGUCAGCACUAGAAUUUAUAUACUGAUAAACUUAUCAUAUCCUUUUUCUUUUCUGGGAAGGAGAGGGGAAUCAACAGAGUGAUGAGUGGCCAUAUUGAUUAGCUGUCAAUUUUGAAAUAAUCAUACUAAUCUUAACUUUUUUAAGUCAUUAUCUCCACCAUUUUUAGCAAAAAAACAUUGAGACUCAUAAUUAACAUGACAAGUUCAAGAAAUCAAACAUGGAAUAAGGAACUUACGCUAGAGAUUUUCCUUUGAAAACAACUGGAGGAGCAACCGCAGCAAAGAUGACGAAGAUAAUGUGAAGCUAUAAACAAGGGCAGGAUAUCAGCCAUAUUUACAUAACCAGCUAACACGGAACAGAAUCAUGGAAACAAGUAAACGCACUGACCAAGUAAAACAAGAAAAACCACCCAAACUUCAUAGCACUAUCAGUCCUGCAAUAAGAAUGUGCUGUUAAUAUUACAAGAAAACUUUUGAAGUGAAAUCAAUAAACUAACAAUAAAAUGAAGGUCCCAGAUGUUAUUGAUGUGAAAGGCAAAUCUCACAACCAAUCCAUCCAGGUAAACUCAAAACAUUAUGUAACGGACCCAACCCUCCCAAUUGCCUCAUUUAAGCACUGGAUAAACCUCAUGUAACAGCACCAUAAGAACAUUCAUAACUUCAUAACAAAGAGAGAAUUAUCAAGCUAGCUAUAGUAUAACUAAUAUAUCCAAUCUAAUACCCUACAUUUUUGCUGGUUUAAGUCAAAACUGACUACCACCCAUAUCACCAGUACAUAUAGAAGGAUAACUUUCUAACAAUGUCAAGAAACAAAUAAGAACAUGUUUAUACCCUCUAACCCCAUAAGUUCAACAGAAUAAAUGGUAAUGCUACAGCCAAAAUAAAGUCAAUAACAAAAAUGCAUACCUAAAGGCAUUAUAUAGUGGCCUGUACCACAACACAUAGGCUCCUGGGACACCUGAUAUGAAGUAUAUAAUAGCAAGAAACCAGAUUUUUGGGUCUACAAAGAAGGAAUGUUGAAAAGGUUACACCACAGGACACAGAGGGGACAGACAAACGACCAAAGAAAUGAAAGGAACCAAAAUUUCAGGAACGAACCUCCCUCUUUAAUCCAUGCUGUGGUAACGGCUAUGACGUUCCAGAAAAGACAUGCUACAAGUCCUGCUCACCACAAACACAAUUCCUCUUAAGUGGAGGUAAUAACCAAAAAAAAAAUAGCAGGCUUAACUAUGCAAAUGGAACAAUCAAAUGAGAUCCAGUCCCAAUUCAUUAAAAGGUUACAACCAUAGCAAAGACGCUGAUUGAUGCACGGUUACAAAUUUUUCCACAGAUCUCAACAAAAAACAAAGGAAUAUAAAAAACAACGGUAAGGAUAUCUGCUCAGUUACAAAAUUUUCCAGCUUGUAAUAUGGUAUUUAUGUCAGAAAUAGAUUCAGAUACGUAAUACAACCUCCUCAUUGGUAGAGGCUAUGUUUUCAGAAUCCUUUCAAUGACCAGGAAAGAAUUUCCAUUGAAUAACCAGUCUUAUCCCCAAUCAAGAAUUUUCAGGCCAGAAUAGAUUUCAAUAUUUACGAAACCUGAAAAUAAAUGCCUAGCGAUGUUAAAAAGAAAUCUAUAGGCUAUCUUCCUCUUUUAAUAUUUCAACCAGCCUGAUAUAUGGGAGAUAAAGUUGAUAUCUAUGAUUCCAAUAAGCUUCUGAUAUGCUCCAAUCCAAAUCCCCUCCCUAGGAUAUAAAAGGGGGAAUGAUAAAUUUCACAUGCAGUGGAAAGGUAUCCCAGCAUUGGCGAGAAUGAUGACAAAUAAUUUCAUGAAGGCGUUGAGCAUUUAAGCAAAUCACUUUUAAACUUCAAUGGAGGCUAACCAAAAUACGACAUACCCAAAAAGGUUGUGAAUGCAACAUACUGCAUUCUCUGAAGAUGAAUUGGAAUAUCAUUUCCAAUGUCAUGAUGGAUAAUUGGAAAGAACGGUGGCCAGUUUUUCUCCUCAAGAACAAUACCAGCUGCAAGGCAAUAAAGGCAAGUCAACCCUUUAUUAAUAUCGGGAAACCAAAGAUUGUGACAGAUAAAUUUCAUCUGUCAUCCAUGAGAAAGUGUUAAAGAUGAGACCACCUGUCAAAGACGUUGCAAACAGAGAAAUCAAGAGAAAAUGAUAUCCAUUCUUCUACUUCAUUAAAUUUUCACUCUGUACCUCUUUCUUUUUCAUUUUUCCUCCCAUUAGUGGGGGUUGAAAACAUAAUAUCUUGUUUGAUAAGUAGAAAGAUUUCCAUCAGGAACAAGCUUAUUUUCUGCCAACUCAAAAGACUCUCAAAAUGUUCAACUACAUAUAGAGAUAUUAGCGGACUAGCCACAACAGCAUUGUGAGGUGCCUCCCCAGAUGAGCACCAAGCAAGCAAAGGCAGGUAGAAUGGGACACAGCACCAAAACAGUGAUUAAGACCCGGGGGGGGGGAAGAGAGAGAGAGAGAGAGAUGGAAUAGCAAAGAAGGAACCUCUGGCAGCAGCCUCUUCUUUCCGCUUUACAUCCUGCAGUGGAUCAAUAAAUCAAAAUACUACAAGUUAGCAAUCCGUGAAACUAGAAGCAACUAGAAAGUAAACAUGAAUGUUCUCCGAGGAGCCAGAAGGAUAUUCAGUUAAUAUUGACAACCAGCCAAAAAGCGACACAGCCUUAAAGACAGCACCUACAGCCACACAUGGAACCUUUUAGAUAAGAGAAAUUUCAGGUCUCUGUCGUGUUCUAAGAGUGUUUAAAAACUUGAACAGCCAUUUGAAUAUAGCUAAGAUUUUUAGUUGUUGCAAAAUUGUUUAUAGAAACUCCAUGGAUAGUAAAAGAAAAGGCUGGUUGGGUAGAACCAAUUCACAUCCUUUAACCCGUUGAUCAGGCCAUGCCAAAAUACUUCUAGUACCAGCUGAUAAAAUUUUCAAAUAGUUGCAUCAUACAGGACAAUUAAGGGCUUAAAGAUGCUCUCAAGGUUUGAAGAACAUACUACGCAAAGCAAUCUGACACAAUAAUGAGCAGUUACAACAAAACCAACAUAUUCCCAAACAUGUCAUAAGCUAACAAGAGAUCCAGGCUUUACAUAAUGAAACAAACAAGAAGAAAGCAAUAUAAAUCCCAUUUUCUUCUUGUUUGAAAAUAAUGAAACACGUUUAUAGAAAUUAAACUUUCAUAACUGGACUGUUAACAUUAUAAAUGGUAAUGCUUGGGGGCAAUCACAAUAACCGAUAUACAUUAGAAGUUAUUUAUUUAGAAUCCUAGACUACGUAAUAGAACAAAAGUCAUCUUGCAGAAAAAUAUAAAGUGCAUCAGGCAAAGAUCAACAAAAUGAUGAUUUUCAGUCAACAAGUACCUGUUCCCUCCUUCUCAAUUCAGCUUCCUUAGCUUGCAGCUCCUUCUCUUUCUUUUUCAAAUCCUAAUUGGGACACAAUAAAAUUAGACAUAACUAAAUACUGUUGAAAAACAUAAGGUAUUAUAUGAUAGUUCUAAGGAUUGGACCUACUGCAGCAUUAUCCAGAGGAAUAUCAAUUGAGGCAGUACUGUUAUAGAAAUCUGCAGGCUCAGGUGGAAGAGGCGAAAGCCUUGAGUUUGUUGCUGCAGGGACACUGCCAGACUGAAAUUCGAGAAAGAUAGAUGGCAUUAAUGAGUUUCUUUACUUCCUUCAAAAGAGAAAAGGAAGAACUGCUUGAAGGAAAAAAUUUUUUGUAACACAUUAUACGAGGUAAUUGAAUCAAGUAUUAAAGAGAGAGAGAGAGAGACGACAUCACCAGCCUUGUAGCAAAACACGGAGAAUGAAAAGAAAAAACUUAAAAGAUAAUUCAUUCAUCUAAAUCAUCUGCAUGAACAAAUGAGUUCAUAACACUGGCAAAAGAACACCAUUGAACUAGAAACCUUCCUCUAAAGCAUUGAAGAACAUUAAAUGUGAUGCCAAAAGCAUCUUUGUGAUGUAAAUAGACAAAGCCAUGUUAGUAUGAUAUAUCAAUACUACGUUUAUCAAAAAUUAGGAUAUAGUUCAAAUGCACAACUAUCAUCCAGCCAUUAUCGCUCUAAAACAUGGGGAAUACAACAUUUUAAUUUAAAGCAAACUAAAAACUGGCCAUUUUAACUAUAUGACUGGAAGAACUACAGGCGUAAUGAUGUACUUACUGUUGUAUAAAAUGCUCCUCCACUAAACUUAGAUUUCCCUCCAUCCUGCCAUAAAUUCAAAAAUAAAAGCAAUUUAAAGAAUCAUAAAUUUGAACAUCUCUUCAAACUCAGUGCAUCAUAUUGAAUAACUAUGCAUAAUAUGUAUGGUAAAGCUAAUACUUAGAACUGCAUUAAUAGAAUCAGAAAACAUAGCCUCAUCCUCAACAAAUUACUGUAAGUUACUUUUCUAGAUCAAAUGCUGACUUUUCCAACUCUCAAAGGACUAAAACCAUCUAAGCCAAUAAUCUAAAAUAUCACACUUCUCUGAACUCCAGCAUCAGAAAUGUCACUCUACUGCGUAAAUUUUUUGGGUUGCCGCCCAAGUACCGAAAGAAUAGGAGUAUACCAAAUAUCUAGAUACAUCAGAGUUGGGAAGACCAUCAUUUUUCAUCCUACCUAUAAUACUCCAACCUCAAUCAGCAGGCCUCCAACAAUAAUCGAUGGUUUGAGCACCAAUAAGUCUUCCUGUCUCCCUCCCCAACCCCCCCCCCCCCCCCCCCCCCCACAACAAAAAACAAAAAAAAAGUGAAAAAUUAAAAUAGAAGAAACCCCCAGCCACCCGCUUGAAACUUCUCGCAGAUCAAUAAUUACCAAAGCCCUUAUGAUUUCAGCUCUAAUUGCAGAUCAAUUUGUACAGCCAGUCAAACAAAAGUCAACCUAGUUAGAAGUACAUAAAUUCCAUUUGAAAACAGGCAAUCGACCGGACAAAAACUCAGAAAAUAAAAAAGUAAUUAUGAGAAACACUAUAACAGAAUUCCAAAUUUCAGGAUAGAACCGCUCAUGCUAUCAACCGCCAAGAAUCUUACAGUCCACAAAAACCUCAAUAAAUCCACCCAACUCACGGCUAAGAAAGCACAUAAUACCCAAAGCCCGCAUACCGAUAUACAGAUUAACCACCAAGCAACCCAAAAUUCAAGCAUAAUUACAUAAAACGGGAAAUUAGUACAAAAUCAGACGGUAAAGUAAGAAGCAAACUUACAGCAAAGGGAUUGACUUCUUCUUCCUCGUCAAAAGGGUUCCGAUCAUAACGGCCAGCCAUUGCAGAGAGUUUGUUUACUAUUGGGCUUACGGAGAUCUGAUAAUAGUAGCACUAGAAGUAUAUUUUUAAAAUUUCUAAUUAAAAAAAAAAGAGAGAAAAGCAAAAAGCUUAGCAGGCAAGAAAUUAAGGAGAAGAGUUUUGGAAGAUUCAAAAUAUAUGAGGUGUCUAAGUGCUGGAGAGAUAGAUGGAGAAGACCCUUUUGGCUUUUUUUACAACUAGUAUUGAAGUUUACAAUGGAGAAUAUAAUGUACUACUAGUACCAGAUGUGAAAUUGGGGAAGAAAGCAAGAAAGGAAAAAGUUGAAAACGUAGAAAGAGAAAAUGAAAGACUUGUCCUCCGCCCUUGGCUUGUUGGUCAGCCAAUCCUGGAGUGCUUUUUUUGAAUUUAAGACGACAUUAGAAAUUUAAUGCCUAUUUCUUCUCUGCCUUGUCCGAUAAAAUUACUGCCACCUGGAAAAGGAAAGGAGAACCGUUUAAAUUUUAUAUUGGGGAAAGAAAUACUUUGCCACCGGAAAUAUUUUGAUUCUAAUUUUGUCUUGGUCUUGUUUCCAUCGCUAUUUUUCCAAGAAAAAUUUUCUAUUUUUUCAUAAUACAUUUUUCAAUUACGUUUUUAUCAUACAUCAAAUCCUAAAAAUACUAUAAUAAUACACAUGGAUAUUACAAUUUGAGAACAUUGUCCUAUAAAAUUGGAUGCAAAUUGUGAUCCUAUAUUAACCGUUCUACUCUUUUUAUCUUUUUGUUCCGAACCCAUAAUUUACCAAACUAUAACUAUUAAAAGAAUUGGCCAAGAUUAUGCUAUGCGCAUUUAAAUCUCAUACAUGAAUUUCCAUACGCUAUUGGUGGGUUAAUUUGGUAGUUCAUAAAGUUUUUCGUAAAUUAUUAACCACUAGGAUUGGCCAAGUGAUCAUGGUAAAAAAAAAGGGCUCAUGUCAUGGUUUGGAUGGAAAUUAAAAUGAAAUUUGAGCUUAAACGGAAAAUCAAGAUGUCCAAGAACUUUUUCAACGAUGGAAAUGAUUUUUUAGCCUCAUAUUCAUUUUUGUACCAUUAGAAAUUAUAUGAUUUGCGUAUCUAAAUUGUCUUCAAAGUUCGACCAAAGUAUUUUUCCCAUUAGAAAAUUUUACCUAACUCGUGUUUCUUAGAGCCAAUCUAGGUGCAUUACUCAACAUGUACAUUUGAGGCAAAUUAAACUUACCUAAAUAACAUUUCAAGCUCUUUCGUUUCAUGUGCGAUCCACUGAUCUUAAAUGCAUUAUACUUUUAAGAUUUCCAAAAUUUCUUACCAGUGAAUACUUUCUUAUAACCAAUUUACUAGUUAUCCAAAAAAAAAAAAAAGAUAAGAUAAUUACGUGACGAUCUCAAAAAACAGCAAGCUAUACUCGGAAUAUAUUUUUGGAUACGUUAUUAUGUUUACCAACUCUUCGGUAUAUUAUGUUGUAUUUUCAUUGGAAUGUAAAACUUCUACUGCGGCCAAUCUAGUACUACAAAAACCGAGGUCUUGUUUGAUAACUUAACUCAGUAUUUAAAUUUAAUGAAUUCAGAUCUUAAUAUGUUUAAUUGCGUUUGAUAACAACAAAAUAGAAUAUCUGAAUUAAUUAAAUGGUACUGAAUCCUCUAAGUUAAAUGUUAUUUACUUAUCACUUAAUGUGAUAUAAACUCAAUUGUAUCAAAUUUAGUAUUUAAUAAUUUAAUGGAUUCAGAUUUCAGUUAUCUUUUAUCAAACGCAGACUAAGUUGAAUAAUUUCAUAAACCUGUCUUCCCGUUGAACUGCUUUUUACCAUUUUUUUUUUCUUUUUUCGUUCUGAUAACGAAGUGGUUAGAUAGUUAUAAGUCGUGUUAACGAGUCUCCAAACGGGAGUCUCAACUGCUCCAAUAGGUGCCUACGAAAUGAUCAUUAUUGAUGAUAGGUAGAUGCCACAGAGUUCAGAAAAUGGGAUUAGCUAUGUGAGUUUUGAGGUGAAGCUAGUCUUUAUUGCAUGUAGGAAUCAAUCAACUAAAUAAUGAUAUAGCAGUUGACAUGAUUUCCAAGUUGUUGUAUAUUCAAGGGAUCAUUUCAGAAACCUCCCUUGAGUUUGGCUAAUGUACAUAUAGGUAGAUCGUGCGUUAAGUAUAACCAUGUCCAAAAGUAGCCUAAUCAAUAAUAUAUAAUUAACUUUUCCUGAGUUUGGCUAAUGGGUCUCUAGUGUUAGUUUUUUUUUUAAAAAAAAGUAUCUAAAUAUAGAAGUGCAAUAAUAAUUAUAAUUGUGUAUAUUCACGUGAUAAGUUAGGUUUAAUUUUAGAUCUAUUAACAAAUAUCGAUUAGACAUCCCGUUAAAAUAUUCAAAACUUUUACUACGGGGCAAAUGAGUGUACCAUUUGUUUAGCCUUGACAUUUUUAAGGUGUAACAUUUGCCACAUUUGUUUUAGUUGAAAAUUUGGGAACUAAUCUAAAAUUAGGGCUAUAUCUCAACACACACUAAUUUUGGAACAGUCGAAAAUCCAAUUAAAAGGUAAUCAAUCUUUUUGAAACGAAAUUUAUUUUAUUUUAUUUCAAUUUUUUGUCAAAAUGCGUGGUCAUGAAGUAACACUACUGUGAUUGUUGAUUCAAAAAAAAAAAAAAAUGAUACUCUGUUUAACAUAUUUACAGUAAAAGUUUUUCACAUAGUUUUUGAAAAACAACCUAAAAAACAACUAAUUCAAACAGACUUGUAUUUCAAAAACGAAAUGCUACAGUGCUGUUUUUUAAAAACAACCCCAAAAACAGCUAAUCCAAACGGAGCCCAUGGUUACUAAUUUACAAUCCAUGGUUACUAAUUUACAAUCCAACCAGUCAACGCAAAAGUUAGCGGCAGCCACAAAAAGAUAGUUGAAUUUUGACCGGCAAAGCGGAAGCCGUGGGGAGCACUUGGGUUUAUCCUCAAAUCACUUGUCAAUUAGGCCCUUUGACUAUUUUUCCUGCGAUAUUAUUCAGUACCAUCUAGAAGGCCACAGUUUCACCAAACCGUCAUCAGGGUUGGAAAUAGGUCCUGAGCCAACAUAUUCUGGGUUGGAAAAACGAGCUGUUAACGCCAUAGUCCUGGCUACUCCAGCAUCUCAAGAAUCCACGGCGUAUUAGAGACGCACUGGGAAACAAUUUUCAUUGGUAUUGCAUCCGAAAGCAUUCAUUGACAGAUCAAGCAGAUGGCAACAACAUGGUCGAUGUAACUGAAGACCGCCAUCCCUAACCAUGGCAGGCACUAGUAGUAUUAACUGAGUCAUGAUUUUCCAAUGGCAUGAUGGGGUUUUGACGUCAUAAAAUAUGCAUCAAAACACAGAUUUUACAUAUCCCAUGACACAAAGGCCGUUUCAUGAAGCAUUAAACAUGGAAGGGGAAUUAGUGAGGAGUCAUUUGUAACAUUAGUAAAAAAAAAAAAAUGAAUUACCGGCACAAAUAAAUAAUGGCACUAUUGAAACAAUAAUGAAUUAAUGAUGAUGAUCAUUAUAGCCUGCAGAGACUAAGAACUACAGGGUGUGAAUCUGAGUGAUCGGACAAACUAAGGCUACGCUUUAUGAUGCCGUCUUCUGCUGUAUCGCCGCCGCCUUCUUUGGCUUCCUUUAUAUGGAUCCACCCAGUAUCUGUCCUCUUUAAUGGCUCGCUCCCACCGAUCUUCAAAUGUCUGAAGCUCUGAUGUUGAUUGCCUCCUAACCUGCACAAAGUGCAAAAGAAGAAUGAUAGCGUUAGGGGGGCAUGAAUCUUUUAUUCUAUCGAAAAGCACUUCAUGGUAAUGUGUAUGAUCUUAAGGUCUUUUUCUCUAGACAGAUCUACAAGGUUCAAGAGAAACAGGAAUACAACUGAUGAAAGCAGCACAUCAGUGAUCCAGUGCCUCACCUCCAAUCGUACAUCAACUUCAUGCCUCUGAGAUAAAAAAAGAACCCGAUGUGUAAAUGCAAGACGCAUAGCACAAAGAACGAGGGACAAGAUAAAGAAGCAACCAUAAGAUAAAGUCUAUACCUUUGUUGACCCUCCAGCAAUUGAGGUCUGCACAAAGAUCAAACAUUGUCAAUGGAUGUCAAUGUUUUAUUAUCAUUACCUUGUCAUCAACUUGUUAAAAAGCGCACCGAGACAGAGGAGUAUACAUGGUAAGCAAAUCAGGCACAGAUCCAAGACCUGAAAUCGUAAGCUCCUCCCGACCAAAAACCUAGCACUGAGUUGCGAGCAAAAACUAGGUGCACUACCAAUAUGUCAAAAUUCUUCAAUGCAUAUACAAGCAACUUCAGGAUCAGGAAAAGUAAUCUUUUGGUUCAGUGCCUUGGUUUUUCUGAAAUAAGGCUUCUUGCAGCCAUUGGCUUUAUAUAGCUUUGUUUCCCAUGUAAUUGAAGAUUUCUCUUCCUUAAUACGUGACGAAGCAAAAAUUAUGUAAGCGUUAGAAGUUAUUUAAUGGAACCCUCGUAUCCUUAGCAGCUACUUAAUAUUGACAUUAUAUCUAUUUCAACUGCUAGCUCAACCAUCUGAAACUAUCUGUCUUAUCAAAGAUACAUAGGUGGGGGUAGGUUAAUCAGCCCAACAGUGCUUUGAGAAACUAUGUUUUGAACAAGAGUCCCCUCACAUGCAGGCCACGACUACACAGAUGUGUGAGUUGGAUUCAUAUAUUAGGCAUAUUUCAAUUAUUCAGUCAACCACCUCUGUACAGCAACCAUAAGAGUGUGUUCACUUACUGGAGUUAGUAGCAACUGCUAGAGUGUUUUCACUUGUUGAAGUUAGUAGCAAUAUACAAAAAGGAAACUGCAAAUCAGUCAAAUAGCCAGCAACUUUGAUGAUAGAUGGUGGCGAACUAAAGGCUUAAUAAUCGAGUGAAAACUUAAGUACUAGAAUUAUCCUAAAACACGCAGGCAGUUUAAUUCCACUAGGUCAUUAUAAGGCUAAGCCUUAAAGCCUUGUGCCUCGUGGAAUUUGAUCUUUGAUGGUAUCUGUUUUUCUGUAUGGUGGCUGGCUAUUUUAUAAUUGAGGGCAGGUAUGCAAAUCUUCAGGGGCUAUUUACCAAGAAUUCAUUUUUAGAAGAACGUCAAAAAAUAUUGUCCUUUUAAUUCAUUUUCCACAAAACGUGGAAAUCGAUUUCUCUAAAAUCAACUUUCCAAAGCCCAUUUUAAAGAAAUCAACUUAUCUAGGAGUCUCCAUUCCUUACUUCCAAAUUCUAUUCCUUCUUCCUCCACCAUAGUUGGCCAGUCUCAUUACCUCAAACCUUCCGUUGUCUAUUGUCAUACUCAUUAUUGCAGCAGACUCUUUGUAAAGACAGGUGGAUUGAUAAACUACUGCAUAUGCUUGCACUAAUGGGUGCAGGUUUUACCACCCUGAUCCAGCUUUUUGGCUAAUGCUGUAUAAAACAAUGGUCAUUGAAAUUGGGAUUUGGUACAAAAAGGUAAGAAAAGAACCUGGAAAUAAUGGAGGUCAUGCUAGACCCAGAAACAUCAAGCGAAGACUUUGUCAUUGUAAAAUUCUGAAGUGAUUUUAAAGUUUAAAUGGCCACAUAGUAUCUAUAUAUUAUUCAUUCAGAGAGGAUUUUGCAGUGGAACGAGUACCAAGCAUCAAAGAUCAGGAAUCCGGAAAACAAUGUGCCCCUCUUCUUCUUCUCCCCACAGGGAUAUUGCAGUCUAUCUUGUUUCAUAAAACUUUUAAGGUCAAAAUCCACUUCUCUGUUUUUAAACAAGGCUGAAUUUUAACAGAAGUUGCGGCUGGGUUUCACCAGAAGUCAAUUUCUCCAAGAUAGCCUCUAAGGUGAUUUUUGCAUAGAUUAAAAAAAAGGAAAUAUUUCUUUAAUUGCGAUUCAAAACCAAAAUGUUAAAGGCAUAUAACCCAAAUUACCAGAAUCCAACAAAAACAUUUUAAACAUUUUAAGGAAAAAUAAAAAGACAGAAAACUUAAAGCUUUUCAUUAUCUGCAAUUUAAACAUCUAAGAAGUGAAAUAUCAAUAAUGAAGUAGCUUAUCAGGGACCAAAACUUCUGCCCCCUAAACAGAAUUAGAAAAGUUAGUGACUUAGUAUUGAUGUGAGCUGUAGCAUGUAAAAUGGUCGCAUAUGUGUAGCCAUGCCAUGAAAUAACAACCUCGUACAUUAAAAGAAAAGAGAAGGAAGUGAAUAGGUAGAUCACCUUUUUGGCAGAUUUCCCUCCCAAUGUCUGUAUACUCUGAUGAACUAUGUAUUCACUAUCAACCACUCCCACAUUUUUCGUGCGGUCACCCUGUAAGAAUGCAAACCGUCAUCAGAUCCCUAAGGAAACAUGUCAACCAAACCCCAUUACAGAGAGGAGAUCUCUCUCUCUCUCUCUCUCUCACACACACACACACAAACACACACAAACACACACACACACACUCUCUCUCUCUGGUGAUAACUUUGCAUAAAGAUGCCAUCAUCCUGUAACUUAAGCAUUACAGCGACAGACUCAAACAAGCCACUUUGACUAGCCAGCACAUCCAAUUUUGCAGCAAUAGAGAAGCAACACAAAAAAAACCAACUUCAACAUUGUAAGAAGUGGCCAUAAUUUCCAAUCCAAACAGGUAAGAAAAAUUGGGAGUAACAGUAAAAAAAGUUCUGCAGGUUUCAUGUCCAGAAGAAACUGGAUUCUUUUACAAAUUACAUAGACAUACACAAAAGUUCUUUUUAGUAUAACAGUGCAUAUGUAAUGAAUAGAUAAAAAGGAACAUGAAGUUCAUAACAUUAUCACGUCAAAACAUUGUAGGAUAACCCAAUUUAAUAUCUCACCUGCGCACAAUAUCCCAGUUUCAUGUCCAUUCCCCAUCCAUGAACAAGAUCACUCUGCAAAAAAAAUGCAAUGAAGCAAAACUUUAGUAAAUCGAAAGAAAAAACUAAAGUUUCAAAGCUUAAUAAAAACGGCUUAUAUCAUCCAUCUCUGCUCACAAUAGCAGCCAAAAUGGGAAACCAGGAAAAAAUAAAAAUAGGCCUAAGAAAAAGUAAAAGACACAGUAAAAUUCCUAGUCAACUGUUUCAACACACAAAUUACUCAAAGAAUUAUAUGAACCUUGACAAGACAAACACAGACUCAUAAAUUGCUUAACAUUAGGAGGACACAAUCUAAAACAAUCAUUAGAAUUAGUUCUUUUUCUCAACAUGAAAAAAGGACAAAAAGCCACAGCCACGGCCACAAGUAUAACAUAAUUCACAUGCAUACCAAGAUAAAUCAUUAGAUUCUCAAUGACAGACUGCCACAAAGCUAUGAAUUACCGUGUCAAAAUAUGUUGAAGCAAAACCUAUACCAAGCAGAUGGAUUUUUUAAAAUAUCUCACCUGUAUUAGGUGCCAGGAACAAUGCCACGCAGCUCUUGAAAAGACAGGAGCCAUUCCUUCCACGAACCUGCAAAAUUGAACCAAUUAAUUCAACUUCAACCUGAACAAUUUGUAAAAACCUUCUUGAUAGAAGCAUACCAAAUAAACCAAUUCACAUUGGUACUCAUAAAUUAGUAAACAAGUGAGAAUACUGGCUAAUUGCAAGAUAGCAAUUGGUGAAGACAGCUAAAAAAAUUACCCAGCACAUGGUGGCCCAUCACUUGCAUCCGAACAUUUCGUACUGCCUCUGGUUUCAUAGACUCUUCUGCAUUAAGUUAAAGCAUUAGCACCUUUAAAAGCAUCUACAAGGUGAAUUUAGCAUCAUAUCACAGCGAUUAUUGAACUCACCGGUGAAACUUCUUUGAUCUCUGUCGUAUUGUAAUUCUAUGAUGUAUACCGGUAGAAUUAGGGUCUAAAGCUGGCUGAGAUAUUUCCAGUCCUUCUGCCUUUACAAUCUCCAAGUAUCUAAGAAGAAAAAAGAAAUGCAAGUAAAAACCAACUCGAUAUACCUCUUUUAUAGGUUACAGGCAUUGCUCAAAGAACACCAAGAACAUCAUACAACUACAGCGCAGCCUAAAUUUGAAAACAAUGGAUUCUCCCAUCCCCUGCAAUGCUAUAGUCCGAACUUUGCAGUAUUACACAUUUGAAGUCUUCACUCCAAAAAUAGUUAAUUAGAAACAUCUAAGUAGAAGUCAAAUGAAUCUUAUGCAGACUGAAGCAAGACCAUAGUUCACAGGAAGAGGAGAGGAGUUAAGCAUUGCUCAUCCCUAUAUGCAAGAAGCAUAUGUGGCACUGACAGAGAGGGAAAGCAUUUAAAAAUGUUUCCACAAACAAAAGUGAUGGAAAUUUUUAGUAAAUAGAGUUUAAGAACCAAAGGAAAAUGGGUCUAGUGAUCCUAAAAGAUAGGUGAUAGAUGCCCAUUCUACAAAGAAAGCACAAAAGAUGCUCGCAGGCUGUUUUUGUUUUCUUCCUCUCAGGAUCAGAGGAAGGGGGGAAAAACACAAACCUCUCUUGGGAUGCCCAUUCUACAAAGAAAGCACAAAAGAUACCGCAUGAGAGUAACUACUGUACCUUCUUGGGCAGAAAUGCUCCACCCCAAGAUCUUCAUCCCACAAGAAUAUGUAAUCAUAAGCAGAUACAACAGCUGGGUGUAAGAAGCGCUUUGCAAACCACCUGAAAUCACAUGAGAUGCUUAACUGAGAACUACAAAAAAGAACUUUUAUGCAAAUUCUCCUUUGCUACAUAUUCUAUAUAAAAGACCAUGGAAUCAGAAAUUCAAAGUUCAACCGGCAAAAUAUCAGGAUCAAAAGAGCUUCUUUCUUAUUAUUAGUACUACUACCACAACUACAACUACUACGACGACGCCAGGAUUGGAAGAGGCAGUCUAUCUAUACCCUUAAUCCAGAGAUUUAAUCCUGUUCAAGUUUCUGUAUACACCACAAGGUUGCACAAACUAUAAAUAGUGCUAAUAAGUUGGACAGAGGAAGCCAUUUAAUGAUCAACUAGGUCCAAGUCUCGCUGAACUGAUACGUAGAUGUUAUUUGAGGCAACACUGGAGGCAUAAAUCAUCAACAAGGUUUGGCAUGAAAACUACAAUCUUUGGUCCAGUAAAUACCACAAUUAACACUGAACAAUUUCUAGCACUUAAUGGGUAGAACAAUUGUAUCUCUUAUUUGCUACAAUGCUCUAUUAGGAAACACUUCAUUAUAAGCAUCCUCACCAUUUGGUUUGGUUGAAGGCAACCAUAUGUAUUGCCUUCUUACUCCAUUCAAGGUUCCACCAACCAUCCACGUUGCCAUCAUAGUGGAAAAGAACAAUUGUAAAAUUCUCUGGAAGAAACUGAAUACAAAAACAUAAGUUAAUAAAUAUAUCCAGAGAGUUUAAACUUCUAGGAAUCAAGCACCAACAAAAUGUAAUACCUUUUGUACGAUUCUAUCAACAUUGCGCUUCUGCUUAAUACCAACUGGAAUAGCCAAUAAGCACUGAGAACUGGGAGUAUUGAGCUGCAAAUAUAUAGGAUGUUCAGCAUAGAAAGAGGAUCUACCUUAAGCACAUGAAUAAUGACCAGUUUAUGAUAAAUCAAGCGGUCAUAAUUUAGAAGAAAUAGGAAAUACUGAAUUAUAGUUCAAGAAUAAUUACCUCUUUUCUUGAACUAUCGCUUGACCAUAGAGGCUUUAACUCUAGAUCCGAUCUGGCCUCAAUGAUGCCACGAGGUAAUGCAUUCAAACUCGUAGUAGGUAUACCAGAAUCCUAGAAAAAGCACCAAACAGAUCUCAUUAAGUUAAUAAACUUCAAGGAAAUUCCAACUGCUAAUGCAAUGCUGCAACACAACCAUCAAGUGCAAGCAACUGAAAAGAAUUGCAUGACGUAUGCCGAAGUCUAUACCUUUAGCAUAAAAAAAGGCCUUAAUCUUGACUCCAUCUGAUAAGGAAAGGGGAAACAGGGAGUGAGUAAGUGCACAGGAAAGGGAACAUGAAAACUGAACACAGGUGGUCCUUAGCUGUAAAGAUUCUAUAGAAGUAAAACUCAGUUUACGACAAAACAAAGUAUGUAAUAUUAGCAGCCAGGUUGGUACAAAAAAUGCAAUUUGAAAUGAACAGGAGAGCAAGAAGUUGAUCAUUGCAACUCUUAAUUCACAUAAAAUUUUCAAUUAAUUUUUUUAUCCAGAACAGAGACUUAGAGAUUGCAAUAUGAUUAGGUUCACAUAGAUUCAUCCUCGAGCUUAUAGCACCACCAAAUUAUGCUUGUGCUGUGGGUGGUUGCUUUGAAUUAUGGCAGUGAUGGUUUAAAAUCAUUUAAGCCAACAUCUCUACAUACCUCUGUUUGUCGGUACUGAUAAUUAGUGGUCCUAUACACCACGAACAACAUUAAUGUACAGAUAACUACCAUAAAUGGCAGUGGUUUCAUCUUUGCUCCACAUGUUCCCUGCAUCACCACUUCAUUAGUUUAAAACUUGUGAUAUUCUUACAUGGUCAUCAAAGCACAAUGCUCAAGUAAUCUGUAAUCACAUCUACCCAGCUUAUGGUGAAUUGAACAGAAGUGUAUGGAUCAUAGAACCAACCCCAUCAAAUAUAGCGAGCCUUUUUUUCAGCAGCCACCACCAUGGUUUAGAUGCCCUCAUAGGCAACUAUUACUUUUAAAGAAUCUCAUAACAAACUGCAAGAAAUGCAUAUCAAGCUGAAGGAUCAAUGGAAGAAAAUAGAAGCCAAAAAACACAGCACAACUUUUAACUCAGUUACAAUAGCUAAAGACAUUCCAUUCUCCUUCUACAUCAAACGAUUACACUUCUCAAAACAAUCAAUCGCCCAAAUUUGCAAGAUGGCAUAUCACGUAAACUCAAACCCUUUAACACAGCUUACAGUCAAAUUAGAACAAUUAAGAACCAUAAAGGGAGGAAUGGCAAUUCAAGAAAUAACCAGAAACACAUGAAUAAUGUCCUUAAUUAUUCCUCCCUACCUUUGCAUGUCUUUAUUUAUUCAAGCUGCAAAAAGAGCCCAAAAUUAUCCAAAUUUGCAUCUAAAUUUCUUUCCAAGCCUACAAUGUGUUUCAAUGUUCACGAGGCAAUUCUAGUCAAACUGUUCGCAAGACAACUUUGUUCUGCAGGCUGAACAACAAGCUCGCAUGGACGUUUGAAAGGGGGGAGGGCAGAAAUACAUUACCCCGGGCAUUAUCUUUACCACUUACCAAGAGGCAGCAAAAAUGUUCCAAACUGUUCAGCCUAAAUGGAUGUUCAAGUGUAUUGAUCUCAAAGAUCAAAACGUGGCAGGGACAUAAUAAAUUGACUAUGUUCUCUUGUUUUUAAUCUUGUGUUUUAUUGCUUAAGUUUUCAACUUUCGUCGGACCACUUCCAAUUUUGUUAUUUCAAUUGAAAAAAAAAAAACCUUCAAAUAACAAAGAUAUAUAUUAGCCCUUUUAUUAUUUGCCUCCUACACGGCUAAUAAAAUAAGAUGAUACUACUACCACGGAGGAGGAGGAGGGGGAACUAGUAUUAAGCAGGGAAAAGAAAAAUGAACACGUAGCACAAAAGCAGCAAAAAUGAAGCGUUUAAAUUCAAUAUUAAGCCAUCUUUCUAUGAAGACGUUUAAUAAAUUUGAGUGAUCAGUAUAUAACACAUUUGUAGCUAGCGUCCAGUAAAGGAAGCACCAAGUAGAUGAUGGAAAACAUUUCAUUAAAAAGAUAAACACUAAAAAGAGAUAAAACCUUUCAUUUCCCACUUGAUAAGAAACUAAAAAAGGAGAUAGCUUUAAUCUCCCCCCCCCCCCCCUUCUUAAAUUAAUCCAUGGAUCUCAACUUAAUCAACAUUUCCAUCCCAAUAUCAGAAACACGCCAUGGCAAAGGGGAAAAAAAGGAAAAAAUGAAUCACAGAAGAAAAUAAUCCAACAAAAAUAGCGAAUAAAUACCUUUAAAAAAAAAAGGAAGAAGAAUGGAAUUGGUCGAGCGAGAAAACGCGCGAUCCACACGUGACUAGUUCUGCACCACCGUGUCAGUGAAUCCCUUCUCCCCUUUUUAACUUUUUUCAGCUGGAAAACUGAAGAAGCUCCUCCUCUUCCUCCUCCUCCGAUGGCCGGCAAAAGCCAGAUUGCAACAAUUCAACUGGAUUAACACUCUGUCGUACUAGUGCGUGUAUUUUAGUGUACUUGUAAUUGAGAGACUUAAAAAUGACUAAAUUUAAGCUUCACUAUUAAAGUUAAGUAGAACUGGCUUUUUUCUACCUCAAAAAAAAAUUUUAAACAAAAGGGAAUAAAUAUGGUGUUAAAGUAUAUAGACAAAGAACGAGAAGGAAGAAGAAAAAAGGGGGAGGAGGAAAGAGUAAAAGGAAGACGAGGGGAUGGAGAAGGAAUCGCCACCUUUUAAGCGGGAAGUAUUCAGUAAGAGAAGCAAACAAAAAAAGAAAAGAAAAGAGAAUAUUAUGUGUCAGCACAUUCGUUAGUGUGUGAGUGUGUGUGUUUCGUCGCCGACGAGGAUCUCUCCGAUCUCAAUCUUACUACUGUCGACGUAAGCAAAGAAAACUGGUCGUCGUACUAGAAAACGAACGAGUAAAGGGCCAUAAAACAUUUAAUUAAUCUGUUUGGGUAGAGUAUUAUUUGAAAUAUUAUUUAAAAUAAUUACUAUAAUAUUUUUUAUGAUAUGAUAUAUACGAGAUAAAAAAAUAAUUAAAAAUAUUAAAAAAAUAAAUUGAAAAAUGUGUUUAUGAUACAAACGAAAUAUUUAUUAACAGUAGAAUUUAGAGCCACAGGCAGGGGCACCGGGCCACCAUGCCGUUGGCCUAAUUGCACCCUUCCCCGGAUAACAUGUAUAUCUACGUUUUUUAAUAGACGGAUAAUAAUACUAUAGUAUAAUAAUGCAUACGUUUUAUUUGACUACUUUUCUCUGUUAUACAUUAUUAUAAUACCGAGUGGUAUAUUAUAGUACAAUGUACCACCGACGGGUACACGUAGCUAAUCUAACCUUAAUUUUUGUUUAGUACUAUGUGGUUUGCAGGUACAUUUAGUGUUGUACUACUAUAUUAGUAUAUUAGAACCCGUUUGAUUGCUAUUUUUUGAUGUUUUUAAAGAAAGAUGUAUUGUAAUGAUUUGAUAUAUGUAAGAUAAAAAAUAAUUAAAUAUUAUAUUUACGAAAAACUUAAAAAAAUGGCAAUCCAAAUUAUUUUUUAAAUCUGUGUUUAACAAGAUGAGUGCAUUUCCCUUUUUAUUUUGGUUAUUGUGGUGGUGAUUCAGUACUAAUUUUCGUGCGGUCAGUUUCAUAAUAGAAGCUUGUUCUUCAUGGAACAAAAAAAUAAUAAUAAUAACUAGUGGAUCUGUUUGGAUUGUAAGUUAUUUGGGAUUAUUUGGGAUAUUUUUACUGUAGCACUUUUUGUGAUGUGACGUAUGUGAGAUAAAAAGAUAUUGGAAAGAUAAAAAGGUGUAUUGGAAAUUGUAAAGAUGAUGUAAGCAAAUAAAAUUGGGGAAAUAUGAAGCAAUCCAAACAAGAUAUCCGAAGAGUGCUUAUUACUGUUGAGUAGCUUUACUUUUUUUCACACAAAUAACUAAGAUUUCAUUUUUCUAAAAUGAGGAAUCUUUAAAUAAUAACACUUGGUUAUUACUAGUACUUGGUUAGUAUGUAAUUUUCAGAUUGGUUUUUCUAUUCUGCUUAAUUUUCAAAUUGUUUUUUCUACUUUGCUUGCCCGGGAUAAGCAUGCAAAGUUGAGGUACUCUUAUUUGGAUUGUGAUUUUUUGCAAAAAAAAAAAUUAUUUAUAUUUUUUGUGAAAAUGACAUUUUUAACUUACAUACAUUUAGUCGUUAUAGUAAAUUUUUCUACAAAAACUCCUAAAAAUAGCAAUUCAUAUCACAUGCCCUUGGAUCGAAAAUUCAAAGCCUUUCAAGACAAUUAAACACCAGAUCCACCUACCCUUUUCGAAUUUGACUGAUACUAACAACUAAACUUCUCAAAUAUGUUUAUGUUGCAGUAGUUUAUAGUUAUAGCAAGUCGUUUUGGUACGCAUGUCUAGUAAUUACGGUUUUGUGUACGUGUCUCUUUAGAACUCUUCAAAGACUGAAAAUCUAUCGUUUUAUCCAUCGUCCGUAGAUCAGUAUAAUUGGGUCUGUUUCUUUAUCCUAGAGGCAAGGAGUUGGAGUGAAGCCGGUAACGACCAAUCAGAAAAGAGUUCAUUAUCAAUAUCGCAUCUUAGGACUUGGGACCUUAGUUUACAGGAGGCGUAAGGAUCACCUCAGAAUCACAAAGUGACAACUUAACAGGGCUUUGUAGGUACUGAGGGGGUCAUGUUCUUGAGUGAAUUUCAAGCCAUUGGAGAUAUUUUGGGUUCGAGGCACUAACAUGUUUGUUGAAUUCCAAAUAUGUUGAAGCAUAUUUUUGUUUGACAAAUAAUAUGUGCACUUCAUUUUAAUAUUUUAUUACCUGAAGGAAAGUCGAGAUCCAAGUGAUAAUUCUAGUUUCUGGAAUGUAAAUAGGAAAAUAUUAUAUGUACUAUGUUUUUUGCUAUGUGCACUCUCACUAUUUGGUUUAUGAUAUAGUGUAAUAAAUAAAUACUAUAUGAUUAAAAUGAUAGUGGAAAUGUGAUCACAAAAAAUGGGAGUGCAAAUAAUAUUUUACGAUGUGAUUAUCACGUGCCUUUUUGUUUUAGGGUUAAUGACACUUUGCCCUCCUAAACAAAAAUGGUAUACAGUUUGGCCCCUACCUUAGUAAAUGUUAGGCCUUCAAAACAUGUAAUUUUUUUUCUCAACUUUGUGCUUAGUAUUAUUCACACUUUGUUCCUCUAUUCAACCAAAAAAAUAAGGAUUAAUCUUAUACAUAUUAUCAGUGUAUACACUAUCACGGUUAGAUAUAUGACACAUGUGCAAAAUUUGAAUUUAAAAUAAAAAAUUUGCUCAUGCCUCAUCCAAAUUUGCUCAUGCAUUAUUCAUUCAACCAUGAUAGUGUAUACAAAAUUUACUUUAAAAUAAACAUACACUUUGCUUUAAUAAUUAGUAACUCUUUAUAUAAUAUAUUGAAUCAGUCAAAAAGUUAUAAAAUAAUUUUAAUAUUUAAAACUAACAUACUUUCUACUAAAACAUUAUUGAUGAAAAAAUAUCAUAUAUAUAAUAGUUCUUCAAAAUAAACUUUCUAUAAGAUAAUGUUCAAUACAAGUUUAAAGAUAAAAAAUAACAAUUACAUGCUUUUACUUAAUUAACCCCAAAAGAUAUAAAUAUGUUUUCAAGAAUAAGAAAUGGUAUACGUAUUUUAUUCAUAUCAAAUUUAUUAAACUUUUACAUAACUCUUUUUUUUUUUUUGAGGUUAAAGAUUUGAAAGUUUUGUUACAUAUUUCAAAAGAUAUUAUGGCACAUCAGACUAGGCUAUAUAGGUUAUAACUAUACCCUAUAUAUGCAAUCACUUUACUAUCAACAUAUAUAGGUAUAUACACACACACAUAUGGGGUAUUUUUAAUCAAUAAUAUUUUGGAGUAAAGUUUGUUAGUUUUAUGUAUUAUAAAAGGAGGGGAGGAGUAAUAGGUUGAGUGAUAGGAGGAGGCAUGUAAGUAAGAGAUCUUGAAUUCGAGACACCCCACUUACAAAAAAAAAAAAAAAAAAAAGGGAGGGGUGGGGGUGGGGGUGGGGGUAUUAUAGUUAUACUAUAACUUUCGUAUCAGUUCAAUAUAUAAUAUACAAAGUUACUAAUUAUUAAAUCCAAGUGUUAAUCCUUUUGGUUGAAGUGGGCAAGCGUGAAUAAUACUUAGGACAGCUUGAAAGUAAAAUUUUCAUAUAUUUUGAGGAUGGUUUAGGUGGCCAAAGUGGGACUUCGCUAUGGUUCCCGUGGGGUGUGGGGGAGGGGGGCAAAGUGUUAUUUGACCUUAGUGUUUCGUUUGGUACAUUAAUGAUUAAGCUUUUUUUGUUUCCUCAACCAAAGGAGAAAAAAGUACGUCAAGGUUGUUAUAUUAUCAAAUUGCUUCUAGAAAUAAUACGUAUAAGAAUACGUUAUUCAUAAUUUACGUAUUCUUGUUAUAGUCUGAAGUUUAGUUAGGUUUCUGUUUUUAUUUAAAAUAGAUAUACACCUUUUUUGGUUCGACUAAAAUAAGACAUUUUUCUUUUUUUUUUUAUGCAAUAAAAGAUUGGAAAAUUUGAAAGACACACUCGGUAACCCCACCCCAAACAAGAGCUUUUGUGUUAAAUAAAACAAAUUUAGAGUUUAGCUUCUAGUGGUAGCUGCCCAAAUUGAUUAGAGUAAACUUUAGCAACAACACCUUUUAGGGGCCAUUACACCAAUAAUUGUUGGAUGAUAGGCUUCUGACGCAAUAUGAACAGCAAACGUAAAAAGCACAAGGGGCUCCAUUAGGUUAAUCCACUUAAUUCAGCAGAAACUAACCGUAGUUACUUUCCAAUAAUCUUCCCACUUAAUGGAACUAGUCUUCAUUUCCACUUCAAUCGAAAGAAAUCGACAAUUCAACUUACAAGAAAUCAACUAGUAGUAGUAGGUCUUAUCAAACUCAAAAGCAAAUGGCUAAUCUAGAUCAUGCACGCGAAAGGAAUAGAUAAUGCAUGAGCUGCUCAUCGCCUGUUCAGUCACGGCACAGCACAUUGGAGUUUUUGCACAUACACCAAUAGUUAAUGUGCCAAAAAUCAGGUUGGCCUUGUAUGAUCAAUGAUUUUCAUUAUUAGGCUAUAUAUUAGGUUUGCCGACCAAUUGCAGAGAAGGUCUCUUCAAGCCAAAUCCAGGGUCUCCUCAUCAAAUCAUGAUAGUACCAAACCAUUUAUGAGAUUGAGAUGUUUUUUAUUUAAAUUUGAAUUAAAUUUCUGGGGCCUAUUUCAAAAGGAAGUUAUUACUAGCUUUGUGAUCAUAAUCGACCAAAGCCAGCGGAUAAGUUGUCUUGUACGUAUACAAUUAAACGUCCUAAAAUUAUAAAUCCCAUCAGAUUUUGGUAUUAAUAUAAAAAUCAAACAAAGUGAAUUCUAUCAACUUAUUUGUCUUCUGCUUUCUUUUGCCUCUAAUUAAUAUCUCAAGUGUUAGAUUAAUGUUUUUGCUUAUCGACGACAUAAAAAAAAAGAGAAAAAAACUAGUCAAAACUCAAAAAAGAUGUAACCAAAUGGACGCAUGGUUUUGCAAAUUCUCCGCCACCGCUAUAACUCCUCUGACAAUUUGGAUUAACUUUUUAUGUACUGAUAAUAUGGUGAUUUUUUUAUACUAGUAAUUACGGAUGUACACCACAUGUGGAUGAUUUGAAUUUUAAAUUUAAAUUCAUAUCAUAUGACAAUGAUAUGAACCUACUAAUCUAAAAAAAAAAACAAUGUAUCCAGACGAUGCAUAAAAACUUACUUUAACAAUUUUGGAUCGAUAAAUUCAACAAUAAUUAUAAAAUAAUUAUUUAACACCCUCUAAUACCUAUAUAUAUAUAUAUAUAUAUAUAUAUAUAUGGGCAUAAAAGAUAUUGUUACUAAUUUAUGUAGAGUACUAUUCUUUAUAUAUAAAAAAAAAAACAUUAUGUGCGUCCAAUGUAUCUUUACUAAUAAGAAUGUGUAUGAUGAUAAAAAUUGACUCAAGGGAAACUAUAUAUAUGAGUUGUUAAACGUCUAUCUGCGUUACACUUUCUUUAAUCCUUUUACAAUUUUUUUUCUUUUUUUCUUUCCAUUAAAACAAGAGGUUGUCUGACCAGAGCAUUGACGGCAGGAAACUAGGAAAGAUAAAAAAAGGCUGAAGUCACUAAGAGCGACGCAAAAAAGAUGAUCAUGUCGAUCGUGUGAGCAACAGAUCUCUUGGACCGGCAUUAACUUGAAAAGAUUGAAGGAACCAGAGCCCUUGACCGCAUGGCUGUAGAUCUCGCAUUUGAAGUCCAAAGUAUACUUAGAACAAGAUGUCCACAUAAAUCCUGUGAAAUGCCCACGUCUACGACCGAAGCCUUGCGUGUACGAUCGAUCAUGAUGGUCUUUUUCAUUUUUGGGGGGGGGGGGGGGGGGGGGGGGGGAAAGCUACGAUCGUGAUCUUGUUAAACCUUGUGACUUUUGGGCAUACUUUUUAGCUGCUUGUUUGCAUGCGGCCGCUUAGAUCACAUUGCAGCAAUUGGCAAAGACCAAAUGGACUCCGACAAAAAUCCCCAGUUGGCACAAGGGAAGAGGCCAACCUAAGCAUUUCUUUUGCUAGGCAAAUUCUACACGAAGGGGUUUUCGGCUGACCGUAUAUAUACGUUACAUGUAUAAAUUCUACACGAAGGGGUUUUUUUUUUUUUUGGGAUGUAAACCCUUUAGCGUCGGAUGGCCUUGCAUUGGAUUUCGACUAAUUUUGGAAUCAAAGUACUGUUGGAUCCUUUUUGGGGUGACUCUCCCAACCUUAUUUUCUCUAUCUACAAGAUUUGAAUAUAAUAUUUAUCUUGAUUAAACGCUGUCAAACUCUUUGUUACUCGACGACAACCGCUGGUAUCCAUUAGAGGGACAUGUCAUGAGAAAAUUUUUCCAUUUUUUUUUUCAAAUAAACUCAUUAUAUAUAUAUAUAUAUAUAUAUAUAUAUAUAUAUAUUUUGCUGUCCAUCCAUAAGGGAUUAAGGCCUUGUUUGCCUACCAAGUUUUUGAAGCAUAAUGGUGAGUUUCAAUGAGUCAUUCUUAACUCAUCACAGUAGUUGUUGGAAUCCAAAACCAGUCCAUGUAUUAGGUCAGCCACCUUGACAAGAAGGCAUACCAAAUGUAUUAGCACCGCUAAUUGGCAUUGAGUAUUGACCACUAAAUUCUUGAAUUAUCCUAUGGCGGCCACCAGCACCACUACUGAUCACUCCAUUAUGAAAAUAUGAAUACGCCAAGUAUCGGAAGCGUUGCAAUACUGGUCAGAGUUACGUCUCAUGCCAUCAAUCGUCCCAAAGUAGGGCAACCAAGUAUGUGCUUAGUUGAACUAAUCACUACUGCUUCUGGCUCAUCAUGCCUGCCCACACAAGGUUAACUUUUGUGGUCCAUCAAUAAUGCCCCAGAAGUAAUGUGCUUUGAAAGAAGUGGUUGGCUUGGCUUGAUUAAUACAUAUGUGGUUUAAAUUGCUAAUCCUAGUGGUGCUCAUACCACUAACUGGAAAUGAAGUUCUUAAUGCCAAUCCAUUGGAUAUAACGUAUACACAACUGGUGCAAUUUCUUUGUCCCACGAAAACGAUUGAGUGACAUUUGGAUCCCACUCACGAUUAUACUUUAUUCGUUUCUUCUUCCAUUAUCUUCUCGACUAGUUUAUGUAUUUCGUACGAGAUCGCUGGUGGAGGUGGGGGAGGAGUUCCAAGGCCCUGUUAAAAAAAAAAAAAAAAAAAAUGUCGGAAUAAGAGCCAAAUUUGCUGCAGUUACGGCCUUGGGAAACGGUACAUAGUAAGUGGAGUAUAUAUUUAGUGCUUGAAACUACCAACAGGCUGUUGUACCCGAUAGACCGGUGUCUUGUUGGGGCACGUGGCUUGUAUCUGGAAAGGGUAGCAGUAGCAAUUAUUCUGCCUUUACGCGCAAAUACUAACACAAUAAAUAUAUGGAUAUUGAAAUAAUAAAUACAACAUAACAAAAUCCUAUACAUAAAUUUUAAUGAGUGGAAAAUUUUAUUAUAUUUUUUUACGUGUUAUUUGGUCAGUAUCUAGAGUUUUUAUAUUAGUAUUUACAUUAGCUUUUAAGUUCAAAAGAGGUCCGUAUUAUUAUUUUCGAAACUUAAAAAAAAGGUGAAUGUAACUAUUAGAAACCUCCCUUGGUAGUAUUUGCACUGUUACGGGUCAUUGUUGAGGUCUCGAUCCUGAUUGAACCCGCUUGGCUCAUGCUUUCGGUUGCGGCAACUCCAAGAGAAGUCACUUAAAUUCUGGAAUUUGCAGUUUCUGUAAUUCCUACGUAAUAAUGCACGCACUGACACGAUAAAAGUAGAUGACAAGGAUCUGUGCUCUUUUAACAAUUUUACUGUAAAUGUAUUUCAAGAAACUUUUCUUGAUGCCAGAUUUUUUAGGUGUUCUUAAGUUUUCGAAACUUUUCUCGGGAUGUUCUCAAGUUUUUUGAGGUGUUCUAUGUGUGUUUUUGGAAUGGUAUGACUCAGGACACAUACUACUAUAAAAUACACAUUUUUGCCAAAUAUGACAUUCUAUAUGGGACAGAAGUCGGUAAUAUGAAACACAAAACAUUAGUAACAAUCAAAAAAGUUAUGUCUCGUAACUAAUUUUUUGUUCAUUCAAUUUCAACCAAAUACAUUUUUACCAUCACUUUUAUGAUUCUAGAUGUUAGAGAGACGUAGCAAAGACCCCUGCUAACAAAUCAUAGUUAAACUAGACAAUGUAUAUUCAUUAGAAUACAUGCUCUCUACUGGUUACUGUAGAAAGAUUAAAAGUUCAGUCCUCCCAUCUUUCUCUCCUUUUUCUUAUAGAUGAGAGGUUUCAAAUAUUCAACCCUCUACUCAUAAUUCCUUUCAUCUUACCACUCAACUCAACCCUCCCUCCUGCUCCUAACGGCCUCCACCUCAAAAAAAUAAUAGCAUAGUUCAUGCAUUGAAUUAUGCGGUAGCAUCGGCAUCGGUUUAGUGAAGCAUGAAAUUAAAUUCUUACGCCUCAACGCUGAAUGAAAUUUGCAUUAAAAACCGUGGCAUCAUGAAAUCGAGUGUUUUUCUAAAGAUGAUGGUGUAUUUUAUGAGUGGUUAGGGUUGAUAGAAUCUUUUUAAGUGUUUUCCCUGCAGAGUAAAAUAGGAUCUAUCAGAUGAUAGAAUAGAACUAACAUAACCGAAAAUGAUACGAUGCAAGUACCAAGUAAGAACACUACUAUUCUUUCCAUUUUCUGUAAGGGUUGAGUAGAUAGUUUUACAACACAGGAGUAUGUUCCAUCUGUUAAAAUGAGAUGCCCACAUUUGCUUCAUAUGUAGGAUCAGACUAUUCGACAAUUACCUCAUUCAAUAACUUAAAGAUUUAAACUAAAUGUCCCCCCACACAGAGUAGUUAUUGAUUCUGCUAUUACUAUAGCGUUGUUAGACAAUUAAUUAGAUGAUGAAUCGAAGCUAAUAAGGUUGGAAAGCAAUAAAACUUGGGUUAAUAUCAGAAACCUCCCUUGAGGUUUCUUCUAAUCACACCUAGCACCCCUCAUGUUUUCGAAAUCACACUUAGCACCCUUGGAAUGACAACUUUGGUAUCAUUGUCAACCCCUCAUUAUAUUUGUUCCACUUUUACGCUCCUUGUGAACUCUAUUUAUGUAACUCACAUCCCACCAACUUUGGUAACACUACAAAAUCGUGCCUGAACAGUGUAACAUGUUUUGAAUAUUUUGUAAUUUUAUGUAAGCUUCUUGUACAUCUUUAUAAUAGAUUGUGUUUCUGUUAUUAAGUUUUACAAAUAAUUCACAUAGAGUUACACAUUGUUUAAAAAAUAUUACAUUGAUCUGAACGGAGAUAAAAAAAAAUGUGAAUAUGAAUUCUCAUACUGGCAACAAUAGUUUCAAUAUGUGGUUGUAGUUGUAAAUAAACUUGCUCUUCCAUUUUUGUGAAAAUGAGGUAGUAUAAAUAGCUUUUUGUGCAUCCUAGUUGAAUGGAGUUUGUAAGUUAUUAAUAUUGCAAUACCCUAUUGUCAAGUAGAAAUGGCUUACUAAUGCUAUAUACUCAUGAAUUCCCAUCAUCUUUGAAUUACUUUUAGAUUGUGUUAUUAUUCACUUAAGAAUUGCAAUUUUGGCAAUGACACUAUGUCCAUUGCCAAAAGUUAACAUCACUGGAAACUCCGUGACUAUUUAAUAUUAGGGGGUGGGAUAGGAACAGUUGUUAGAUCAACCAUCCUUAAAUAGUGUAACAUUUUUUGAAUAUUUUGUAAUUUUAUGUAAACUUCUUGUACAUCGUUACAAUAGAAAUGUGACAAGUUGUUAGUGUACAUAUGGGUCCAAUAUGUAAUAAUCAUAUCUGUGUUGGUAAGUUUUACAAAUAGUUCAAUUAGAGUUACACUUUGUACAAAAAAUAUUACAUAAUUACAGAAUAGUUUUACAUAAUUUAGGGAAAACCUCAAGGGAGGUUUCCGAAAUUAACUCUACAUAAAUAGAGUUCACAAGGAGGGUAAAAGUGGAACAAAAAUAAUGAGGGGUUGACAAUGAUACCAAAGUUGUCAUUGCUAAGUGUGAUUUUGAAAACAUGAGGGGUGCUAAGUGUGAUUAGAAGAAACCUCAAGGGAAACUGGCCGACAACAGCACUUAACUUGCCCACACAGUGCAGAUCAGCCCCGAACGAUGCAAGAGCUAAAAGUUCCUUAGUAGCCCAAGGGAAUUCUACCCAGGCCUACAUGUCCACACGCAAACUGCUGGACCCAGGCUUCAAUGUUAAGCCGGACGGUCGGUCUGGGUUUGAUGAUUCUUACCAUUUACAGGCCAGCACGCUUGUCAGUUUAUCCAACACCAAUUAUACUGUAGCCCAACUGAGAGACCAAAGCAGUGGCGAUUUUUUAUACCAUAGCUGAACCGAGCAAGACGUUCUUUUUUUCUUUUUUCUUUUUUUUAAUUACUCCCAACUUUUUGAACCAAAUGGUAGAUAUUCAAUGAAAUUGCAAAAUUAUUUUCACAAUCAAGUUCAUGAGAUUCUACAAUCCCUUUUGGUAUCGCACUCUUAGAUUAAAUUCACCGUUAAAUAGUGAAAUAAAUAUUUUAGAGUCCAUUUGAAUUGCUAUUUUUUAAAAUUUUUGUAAAAAAAAAAAACUAUAAAAAUGUUUUGCAUAUGAAGUAAAUAAAAAAAUGAUUAAAAAAUAUGUUUGUCAAAAUUAUAGAAAUUUUUUGAAGAAAAAUUACAAUGCAAACAAGACCUCAACUUUUAGAUUAUAAAAAUAUGAAAUAUUUAAAAUAUAAAAUCACUAUCUUUAUCGAUGCAUAUACAUUGAGAGAUUGGUUCUCCAAUCAGAUCGCAGAGUUUCCUCAAGUUCAAUAGUUUUAUACUAAAUUAUGUUUCUAAUAUGAAUUUCAUUUUGCUGUAACUCAGAAAUAUUCUCCACAAUCCGUUGUUUCUUUUGUUAUAAAUAAAGACUCAAAUACAUUUGUUUAAAGUAUGGACUAACUUGCAUGGAUAUUUGAUAUACAGUAUUCAGCCACUCAGGUCCGUAUAUACAUAUAGCUUCUCAGCCCUCUCUCGAGGGAUGUAGAUGUCAAAAGGAAAGCGCCAAGAAAGGGGGAAGAGAAGCACACCUGGUUGCUAGGACUCUGUGGUUAUGGAACAAAUCGCUCAAAAAAAGGCAAGACAACCAUUAAAGCGCAGUUCACAAAGGCCAGUUUUAAAGCACCAUUUUGCCAAGAGCUUCGCAUGAUGAAGAGUCUCUGAAACUAUUUAUGAACAGUUCAUUCACAUCUACUGUGUUUCUUCACUUGAAUGGCCAGCAGAUACAACCUAGUUAACCUAGUUGACAUACCUAGCCUCAUUUGCAAAAAGAAGAGCAUCUGUACAGCAAGAAGUUAAUGCAAAAAACCGGGAAGAUGUUACAAAAAUACUAAAACAUAUUCACCGUUGUCGAGCAGCUUUCUUGUCCUUCGGCAGUGGAGUCUUGGAUUGUGGUUUAGCUGAUGCAGUUUUUACCUUCAGAGGGCGUUUUACACCUUUCUUUGCCGUCAAUAACGACUGAAGCGGAACAUUAGCAUCAGGAUCACCUGGUUUAGGAUGUACCUUGGGAGCGUUAACAACAAAUUUCUCAGCUUUGUCCAGCUUAGCUGAUUGUUUGGGUUGACUUGGGCGACGACGGGCACUCCGUGGCUUCACAGGAGGAUUAUACAAUGAUCGCAUUGGAAGGGAUGCAGAAGUAGCUUUGUUAUAAGAACCCUUGAAGUGCUGUCGAUAUGCUUUCAGUACAAUAUCUCUCAGCGCCACUGCCGAUUUAUACUCCCGUGUCCUUUUUGAGUAAAACACCAGGGCAUUAUUUGCAAGCAAAAGCAAGUCUCGAAAGAGCUCUCUUGCUGAGUGGAUGGAACAGCUGACCAAUCUAGAUCUUAUCAUGUCAAAAUCCAUAUGUUGCCUGAUGAUUUUCUUGUAUCUUGCUCUCUUCUGUUGUGGGUCACAGAUACAAAUUCAUUUGAAAAAUUACAGAAGAUUUGCGCAAUAGGGUUUGGGACAUAACCAACAAAGUUUGAGUAUUUACUAAAGCAAUUACCUGACUAUCAAGCCGAUGUCUAAAGACAAAAGCUACCUUGUACUCCGCAAUAGAAUUGAAAAUGCCGAUCAAACAAUCACUUCUCAUCUGGCAUGCACCUUUGGUGUUGCCAUCUCUACCGGGAAGCCUAAUAGUCUGAUCACAAUCACUUGUAGAAGUUUCCUUACAGCGAGAACUAGAUACUACAUUAGUUGACCCAUGGUUGUCACUCUCACCAAUGCUUCCUUCUUUGGCUUCUAUGUUACAGUCUUUCCUCUUCCUCAUACCUCUUCUUUUCCUCGGAGUCCCUCCCUCUCUAUUGCCAGUCUCUACCAGCUUUUUUGUGUGUAAAUCCUUCUGUUCCUCCAAAGAUACUGAAACUUCUUGCUUAAUAUCUGUCCCUGCACAUGAUACUAAGACUGGAAUCUGUCGAUACAAUGACCAGCUAAUGCUUGUAUCUUGGGUGAAGCUACUGGCAGAGAGUCCAUCCUUGGAUGUCUCCUUGCCAAAAGAUUCGUUUCCAUCUGAUCUUAAAAGAGGAGCAGGUGAUUCAGUCCCAUUAGAGCCACAAUCAGCUUUGCUGGAGUGUCUUUUCUCAGCCUUGAGAAUUUCAAUCUUCGUCUCAAGCGAUCUGCAGUUAAGAACAAAAGCCAAUUUAAUACUAUGAUAAUGAUGAACAUGAUGAUAACGAGUGUAAGUGUGCGUGUGUGUGUGUGUGAGAGAGAGAGAGAGAGAGAGAGAACAAUUUCAGUUAGACACUAACUAAACCUGAACAUCACAUGCUUUCUGAAAAUGUAAAAAUACAUCAAACAUCAUAUACAGAUGUGCAGUUUCUCUGCUUACACCACCUGUUCUGUAAAGCAAUCUACUUGUAACUUGAAGCACCCAAUCAACACGAAACAUUCAGGUAAGAUGACAACUUGGACUGCCAGCUGUGGCAGAGCCACAUGGAACUGAGGGAGGGCAAUUGUCCCCCCUCAAAUUUGAUAAAAUUAUAUAAUGGCCUCGAAACUCUCUAAAAUUUUCAAGUUUGCACCCCCUGAAAUUUAUAAAAUUAUUACCUUUAGUUGCAUUGCCUUCUUUAGAUUUAAGAAAAUUCCUUUCUAUACAUGGAUAUAUCCUUUUGAGUUCUAUACAUUCCCUCCCUUAUUCUAUAUUGACCCCCUAAAAAAUAAGAUUUUUACUUAUUACCUCUAAAAUGAAUUUUGGACCUAUUCCAUACUAAACAUUGACACCGCUUUAAUGAGGAAGAAGUAUUUGGCCUUUCAAAUCGAAGUACAAAGUACAUCUUUUAUAUAAAUUUCAAAGCAUGAUUUAUGCUAAAGUUAACCAUUGCAUCUCCUCACCAUAGGAUCCUGGCUCCGCCAUUGACUGCCAAGAUGUACUGCCUCCAACUCUAAUUAAAUGUCUUAAAACUCCUCUCAAAAUAACUUUCAUUUUCCUCGCACGAACUUUAUUAGUAAAGGUUGCUUCUUUUUUCAUAUUAUAUACCAAAAUAAGUGGAACCACAUGUUAAUUUCAGUUAAAUUUAACUUAUGUGUUGGAGUCACGUAUUCACUCUUUCUCGAUGACCUGCCCUAUGUGUUUAACUAUUCAUAAUACCAAUACCAAACCAAAGUACGAAAGUAACGAAACACAAUUUGGUCCGAAAAGUUCUUAAUAGUUCAUAUUUAUUAUGUAAUUGAAGUGCCACCAUAAAAAAGUACAAGAAGUCUAUGAACUUGACCAAAUUUUCCUUUUCCAAUUCUUUUAUCUUUUCACCAGGAGAAAAAAAGAAGGGGGGGGGGGGUUGGUUGCUUGCCGUGCAGCAGAGGAUAUAGGUAACCCAUUUUGUUUGACGAAAACUUGACUAGAAAGUAGUUUGGUUACUAGACUUCAAUUUCAUCAGCACCAACAUGAAUCGAAAGAAAAAAGUUCACUAACCCAAUUGAGUCCUCAGAUUUCUCCAAUUCUCUCUUCAGUUCUGCAACUCGUCUCUUUCGUAGCUCAUCAAACCAAGCACUGAUACAGGACACCCAACAAGUAAUAGAAAUAAAUCAAAACCCGAAUAUGAAUCUCAUUAUAUUCCUAGCUGCUCUUAUUUUUCCAAAAAAAAAAAAAAGUGAAAAUGUAAGAGACAGAUUGGAAGCAAGAAAGGAGGGAGAUAACAGUCUCAAUGCCGUACACCCAGAAGCUUAAACGUGUUGCAAGAAUAAUAGAGCCUGUUUUUACAGAAAAACAAACCUCUAUUUACUUAGGAAAACAAGGACACACACCAAAAAGUUACUUCUAAUAAAUCAAACUUUAGUAGCAAUCUCCAGAGUUAUAAAUCUGUGUGUGACAACUGAAUUACCAUUAUUCAAUAAAUUGAAUCACCAUUAUUCAAUAAAUCAAAAGAGCUGAGUCCCACUUACUUGGAACCAGAAUAACGCCUUCUUAGGUCCUCAUACUUGGCCUUGCAGGCCUGUAUUUCAAAUUGAAGUUUUUGUCAGAUCGACCAUAAGCUUGAUCAUACUAAACUGUACACAUGUACACGAGGUUGAAAGAAAUAAUGCAUUGCAUCUAAGUAACACCCAUGAGAACAACAAAUUUAAUGAGUUUUAGCCAACAACCUUCCACUAAUACACAAUUAUUUUAGUUAUCAAACUGAUAUCUAUUGGGGAUGAUAAAUGCAACUAACUGUGAUAAAUGCGUGUUUGGUAUCAGAGCAUAUAAAAUUCUUUGUUUAAUUAUUAUUAAGAGAUAAUUAAUUCUAGGAGGGGUUAUGGCGCAAAAGCCAAAAACUCUUUAAACUUUUCCUGGCUAUUGUGAGUUUCUUCAAAGUAAAAAUUCUUUGUUUGGAGAAACCAAUAGCUACAAGUGGAUAUACUACCAUGUGCACGAUUGAUGAUACUCUUGAGAAGGGUACAAGCAUUCACGACAUUGGUCUACCAGCCUAAGUCUAUCCAAUCACUUCUUCCUACAAUUCUGCUAUAAAUGGCUUCAUUAACGGGUUUUCUUUUCUUUUCCUCCCCCACCCACCCCCAAAAAAAGAAUGUUGUCUCAGAAAAUUUGUCAACAUACAUAUUAAUUUUCUGUGGAACCACAUCGAUCAUCAAGCUCGAGAUGAAGAUCAGGCCCAUAAUUUCUUCAAAUAACAUCAUCCACCAACAAAAUGGAUUACUACAUCACAUCCAAAUUUGAAAACAAAUUCCACGUCAACAAUUACAAAGGAAAAAAAACGAAACAAAAGUCUCAUCACAAAAUUUACAACAAUUUAUAUGAUUAUCACUGUUUACAAAGGUGGGCCAUAACCACAGCCAACGGUGACGUUAAUGGGGAAUAUUUUAGUUAUUCAACAAAUUCUUGAACUACUAAUUAUUCCUUGCCACAAAACAAGGUUCACAUUUGAUACCAUCCCCAACAUAAUAUAAUAUGACCAAAUUGCAUUUACCUUUAAUUAUGUGUGGUCCAAGAAGACUUUGGACCAUGUGUAGCUAAUGAUUACUCUAAAUCGCAAUAAGGUAUUCCUUAAUCCUCAUUCCCUAACCACCCAAGAGUCAAAUUGGACCUUUCCAUAAAACUAAGACUCCAAAUUGACCAAUCAUUCAUGACUUGUGACUUGGGAAGCUACGGGUUGCCUCCCCAUUUCUCACAUAACCACCACCAAAAUAAAGAGUAAAUUUGAAACUCCAUAAAGGGCAGAAAAAAGAAAGAAGAAGAAAUCAGGAGGGCUAUAAAGGAAAUAUGCAAUAAAUGACUCAGUCCACGUGGUACAAGCAAGCAUAAAUAAAUACUCUGCUAAUAUUAAUCUCUGUCCCCUUUUCUUAAGCCCCAAGGCAUAUCACGACUUAUGUUUAUCCUCUACCUAAUAAUUUUAUAGCCAAGUGAAUAAUUUCAUAUUAUCAAAUGCUAAGACAUGGCCCUACAAAAUCUAUCGAGCAACUAACUUCUUAACUAAAUGUAAAUAUCAUAAUUAAUUCCUCAACACGCACUUACUGUACUAGAUUACAAGAAAAAACAUCAUUAACAUUUCAAUAACUUAAAAUCAAAAUGAAGCCAAAAAAUUAAAAAAAGGAAUAACGUGUGGGGGAAAAUGAAAGGACCUGAGGGGUAAAGCAAUAGGGGUAGAGGGUGCGGGCACGAAGCUCGGAAGCGACGACGUUCCAGUCUUGGGUACCGUGCCUCAACACAGCGCCUCCUAGGAUAAGCUCCUCCCAUGUGCCCCACCUCUUAUCGGGGCCCACCACCAUCGCCUCCGCUCCCAUCUCCCGCCUUCCACGUGUACGACCACGAUCAAAAGUUAGCCGCCCAAGCAAAACAAAACACACACCCACCUCUCUCUCUCACACACACACUCUCAAAUCUUAAAAGCUUUCGAAUUUCAACAUCUUAACAUGCGCACCACCGGCGCACGUUAGUAAUCACCCUUCUCUCUCCGGUGUUAAAAAAAAAAGAAAAAGAAAAAAGCCAAAAGACAGAGACUGGAGACAAAACAACCUCGAAAUUUCCAGGAUUCUACAAAGGCUAAAAGGGCAAAAGCCAGGGAGAUAGAUAAGGGCGCGUUUGGUUCUCGACAAACUUGAGGACAUAAAAAGGACCGUGAAGCGUGCUAAGGGUGGUUUUGUGGAGGUGGUUUAGAAGAGAAAUGGUUGUUUUGGUCAUGGAAGGUGGUUUUCCGGCCAGAAUUUUUUUUUCCUCAAUUUCCAAAAAAAGAAAAGAAAAGAGAAGAUAGCAUAUAGUAAUAAUAAUUAAAACUUUUAAAUGAUGGGGAGAAAAGGAGACGACGAAUUCUAGAAGGAGAAAAGGAUGUACUUAUUGUAGCGAAAUGAAUGAUCGGCGGAGAUGGGCAUCGAGAGAAGCAAGAAAUGGAUGAAAGAAAUGUUGGAUGGGUGUGGGUGUGUGUGUGCGAAAAGAGGGUGGUGGUGUGUGAUUUUUUUGAGUUGGGGUUAGCCUGGAAAUUCUCUUCGUUUCCCCCUCUUUUUUCUCUCUGUCUUUUUCUAGUACUAGUACGAGGGAAGGGAGGCAUAAUCAAUCAAUAAUGGUGCCUUUUACAUGUAGAUUCUCUUACCAUAUUUGUCCCCCCUCAUAAUCUUUAAUGACAUGCAUAUCCCCAGUUCAAAUGAAGAAGAUUGCCGACUAGGAGGGUGGCACAUACUAUUUGGCCAUUCAAGAUAAAAGGAGGGACGCAAAUUAAUUACCAUUUUUUCUGUCUUUUUUUUUUUUUUGGGGGGUGACUUUAUAGUUAACUCUCUUUUCUUGCAGCCAGGGGACGUUAAGACGUAAAAGUUGUAAUUGUAGUAAUAAAAAUCCAAUGAAAACACAAGAAAAUUUAAAAAAAAAAAAAAAAAAACGGUGAGAAGCAGCAAUCAUUAAUGGGUUUUCAGCUUUCAAAUUUAAGGUAUAAUUAUGUAAGAUCUGAAAUAAAAAAGUACAGGAGCUACAUACAUAUAGAAAGUGUAGUAUAUUGAAAUUGUAAUUCAUCUCCAAAAAUAUUUCUAAUUAUCAAUCAAUUACUUCUCUGCUAAGAAAUAAUAUCUUCUAAGAUAAAAAGAAACUUAAUUGUCACAAAAGAUGAGUAGUAAAGCGCUAAACUUCGUUGCUUGAACUCGUGGACUUAUGUGUCAUAAGCGAUGGAGCAUCCAAAGCAAAUAAAUAACUAAGAAUCGAGUAAACAUACCUUCUUAAUUGUCACAAAAGAGAUAGUAAAGCUCUAAACUUCGUUACUUAAACUCGUGAACUAUAAUUAAGUGAUAAAAUUUUAAAACUAUCACGGACCUAAAGUAACAUCUCAAAAUCAAGUAACCCAAUUUUUAAUUAAGACGGUUGGAAUUUCUGCCCUACAAUUCUCAUAGUCUAAAACUUUUUUAAAAAAAACUCUUGAAGGACGUACAAAAAAAAAAAAAAACGAACUUGCAUCUCAAAUUUUAUUUGCAAUGAAUGAAUUGACCCAAGAUUUUAUUAAUUUGGCUAAUAUUCCUCGAAAGUCUCUGUGGAACAUUUUUUCUAAAUUUAUUUUUAUUUUGUUAAAACACCCAUAAGCCAAUACCUUCGAUAGUUAGUUCAAAUUACAAAUACUUACAUCCUCGAUAGUUGCAACUAAAAAUAUUUUCAGAAAAGUCUGAAUAUUAGAAUACAAAAUUCUUUGACUUACGCCUAAAUAGUACGAAAUACUCUGUUUACCGCUCUAAACCACCAUUUUUAAGGAUUUGAACACUAAUAGUAGAAUAGAAUCUUCGAGCCUUGACCUAAUACAACUAUUAUGUCAUUGACUUGAUAUGUCAUAGUAUAAUCAACUCUCAAUUCUCAUAGUAUAAUAAUUUCGCAUAUUAACUGUUUCCAUGUCCGAUGAAAGAUUAGGAGCAAACUCCUGCGUGGAACUCGAGCCUAAACGACAUUAGCACGUGCUUUUGGAUGUCAAUUACUAUUUGGUACGGCGCACACGGGAUCAAGCCUUCGACGUUCGCUGCUCCAAAUCCGAAAAAUAUAAAGCCAUGUCAUUGCUGCGUGCUUGCAAUUUUAGGCUUAAAUAAAUUUUGACCCUUUGUAAUUAAGUGGCAGUAGCAAAUCGCUCCCGUGUCUGUGAAAUCUAUAAAUUAACCCCCGAUGGUAUGGUAGUAGUCUAAUGUAUUUGUUGGAUAGCAAAAAUAUAUGAUUAUGUCCUCAUUGUUAAAAUAUUGUUCAAUGAUCGUUUGUCCUUUUCUCUUGCCUCUUGCUAUUAUUCUUAUUAUUGUUUAAAUUUCUUUCUUACUACGAAAUACAAAUUUUCAUAAUAAAAGAAUUAAAGAAAUUAUCAUAAGAAAUUUAAAAGAAUAUAUUUAUUCUAAGUAACUCCUAUUUUAUUAACAAAUUCUGGCUUUGCAUUAAUUGUUACUAAAAAUUUAGCAUACAUGUUUUACUUCUAUUUUCUCUUUUUCUUCGUCUACUUUUUCUCCUUUAUGCUUAUUAACAAUUCAUUUGACAUACAUUUGCCUAGCAGGGGAUUAAGCCCGCAAUAUUAUCAGGGUAUGUAUUGUGUUAGUAAGUUAAAAAAACUACUACCUUUUUAAGCAUCAACUAACAUGCAUGGUAUAAAUGUUCACAAUAACCAUCAACUCUAUGUACUAUUUGGAAACCUCUGCAUAGAUAAUCGAAUAACCAAUUUAAAGCCAUAUAAUUUUCAUUCCAAUUCAAGAAAAGGGGGCAUGAUUCGAGACCUUUCAAACAAAUACAUCGUAUGGUUUGGUCAAGAUUUUCACAUGAAUUACACCAAUGGUUGAGAGAUUUCAUCUCAAUUUAUAAUUAAAAUCUAUACUAAACGGUCUUAAAAUGCACGUCUAGUUGUAAAUUUUUAACGACGACUUAAUAAGGUGGAUAAUACUCGUGCCUGUAUUCUUGAGGCCUUUAUGCGGUCAUAUCUUAAAGAAAAUGCAUUUUUCCUUUGGCUUCUUUAUUCCGUUCCUUUUUUAGGUAUCUUCCAGCUUCCAAAACAAGCAGAAAAAAAGACAAUAUAAAGUGACAUCCAAAUAUAUUAGCUAUAUGUAUUUGUUUCAUAGAUUAUUUUCAUCUCUUACUAGGUUGUAUUUUAUACGAUUUCAAACAUAUGUUACCAAUUGAAAAGAGCUCAUUCUAGAACAGUAAAAAAAAAAAAAAAAUUCAAAUUGCUGGUAUAUUUUAAGUUGCAGAAACGAGGCAAGUUCAAAAUCCGGGUGAGCAGAAGGACGAUUUCGAGAAAAAAAAAGAAGAAGGACGUUUGUUGAAAAAAGAAGGACGAUUUCGAUUUCACCUUUUCUGUAAAGUUCUAUGGACCCUAAGCUGAUUUUGUGGAUGCCAUGUUCGCUCGUACCCUUUCCCGCUACCAUUUCUCCACUCGUGCCACACUGAAUUUGAAUAAUACAAUCAACGGCUGCCUCCGUAACGGAAAUUUAAACGCUGCCCGCCAAGUUUUCGAUGAAAAUCCUGAGUCCAGAAACAUUGUCUCCUGGAAUUCAAUAAUUACUGGAUACAUGAGGCACAACCGUUGGCGACGUGCCGAAGAGUUGUUCGACCAAAUGCCCCAGAAGGACGUUGUUUCAUGGAACACCAUGCUUUCUGGCUUCCGCCAGGCCAACCACCCAGAAAAAUCUUACCAGUAUUUCAUGAAAAUGACCAGGGCCGGCGAGAAACCCAAUGAACUUACUUUUGCAGUCUUGAUUAGCGCAUUCUUGAACACGGGUUACAGUUUCUUGACCCCUCAGCUUCACUGUCGAGUGCUUUCUUCGGGAUUGAAUCUGAAUGAUUCUCUUGGGUCAGCAUUGAUGAGAGGUUACCUAGACUUGGGCGAUCGAGAAGGGUUGUGUCGAGUGUUUGAUGAGAUUUUGGUGAAAGACGUGGCGCCUUGGAACGUGUUGAUUCUUGGUUUUAUGGAAUUUGGGCUAACCAGUGAAGCUAAGAGGGCAUUUUAUCUGAUGCCCGAGAAGAAUGCUUUCUCGUGGAGUACUCUCAUUAAUGGAUAUGUCAAGAAUAAGAUGCUAAGUGAAGCCCGCUCUGUUUUGGAUACGAUGAGUGAAAAUGAUGUUGUUUGUUGGACUGCAAUGAUAAAAGGGUAUGUACAGUGGGAGGAUUUUUUGGAGGCUUUGGGAUUGUUUAUCUUGAUGCUAAACUCGGGGCCUAGGCCUAAUCACUUCACAUUCUCAUGCGUGCUAGAUGCCUGUGCAGGCUGCUCUUCUCUCCUCAUAGGCAAUCAAGUUCACUCAUGUAUACUUAAGGUUGGUACAGUGCUUGAUGUCAUCUUGUCGACUUCCCUUCUUGACAUGUAUGCAAAGUGCGGGGAUAUUGAGGCAGCGUAUUAUAUAUUUCAAUCCAUGUCAGAAAAGAAUCUGGUCUCCUGGAAUUCUAUAAUUGGUGGAUAUGCAAGGCACGGCCUUGCCAAAAGAGCAUUGCAAGAAUUCGAGAGAAUGGUGAAGGAAUCAAUCAACCCUGAUGAAAUUACGUUUAUUAAUGUCCUUUCGGCUUGUGGGCAUGGAGGAAUGGUUGAAGAGGGUGAACGGAUAUUUAACUCCAUGAAUUCAAAAUACGGAGUAAAACCAGGGAUUCAGCAUUUUGCUUGCAUAGUGGAUUUGUAUGGAAAAGCUGGGCAGCUCAAGAAAGCAGAGGAAUUUGUUAGGGGAAUGCCUUUUGAGCCUGAUGUGGUUGUAUGGGGGGCAUUGCUUGGGGCCUGUGGCCUACAUUCUUGUUUGGAAAUUGGCGAGUCUGCUGCCAGCAGAAUUUAUAAAUUGGAACAAGACCAUCCUGCUGUAUAUGCAAUGCUAUCCAAGAUGCACGGUGAAAAUGAAGUAUGGAAUACUGUAGCUCAGAUGAAGAAGAUGAUAAGAGUUAAGCGUGCUAGGAAACAGAAGGCUGGUAGUUGGAUUGAAUCUUAAACUUGUCUAGUCUGUCCUUUCACAUUUUAAUUCCUGGUUAUUUGGGUUAAUUUCUGGGCAUGUUGUGAAUCAGUUACAAGGGGAUGUGGUAGCUUGAGUUAGGGCUGUGUUUGUGGUUUCAGGGCCUGUCGAGCAGCAGAGGUUUUCACUUAGACGCAUCAGAUUUCCAGCUUUAAGAUCCCUACUGUUCAAUGGAGACAGAACAAAACAUUUAAUAGCUGAUACACAUUCUUCAGUUUCCUGGUAUUCCAUGCAACGCAUCCUGAGCCUCAAACCAUAGUUUUCAUCCCUGAUGCAAGUAUUUCGGGUCAGAGAGCUGCGACUUUCAAUGCCUACUGCUUUGGUUUGAACUAGGCAUGACAUACUUGUUUGUAUUUUUUUCCUAAAGCAAACGCAUUGUACAUUGACUCUUGUUAAAUGAUAUGGACGAAAGGGCUUUCCUUCCCAUGAAUAGUAAACAAGAAACUCCAUCCCGUACAACGUCUUCCGCACUACUGGUCUGAGAUUGACGGAAAAUUCUGAAGAGCAGGUUCCACUAUGUAUGAAUCUUGGAGACUUUCAUACUGUAUUAGAGGUGAAAGUUGAAGCCCAUUACAUUGGCUUGUUUAAUUGUCCGUGGGUGGUACCAAAUUAGCCUAAUACUACAAGAAAAAUGUCAAAGCAAGCAGGACUUGUAAGGUAGCUGUUUGUUUUGGUCUUUUCUUUUAAUGUGGAGGGGAGGGACGGUCAGAAUCACACUUCCACGUGAGACUACAAGAUAGGAAAUAUAUUUCAUUGAUAAAUGGAGGCUGUAUACAUAUCAUUAAAUAUUACAAGCGCAUUUACAUAAAUUGACUUGUAAUUACAGGUUAAGUAAGACCACAAGUAUACAUGUAUGUAUGCUACAGCUGCAACAUCUUCCAAGGCAUCACUAAAAGAAAUUUACUACCUUUAUAUUGAGGACUAACACCUUGAACCAGGGAUAAUGGCUGCAGCUGAACAAAAUCCUCCUCAAGCUUUACCGCAUGGAGCAUCAAGCUUGUAUGCAUAGCUACCAAAAGGACUCAAAAAAGGUAGCCAGAGACAGACAUCAGCAUGACAAAAUUGUGAUGCUUCCCUCGUGUGAAAAGAGGCGGUCUGAAAGAAUUUUAUCCAAGGGGAAGCAAAAAGCAGUACAUUUCCUCUUCAUUGAAGUUAAUACCACAUAGAAGAGUAUAUUACGGUUCUCGAAGAACAAGGCUUAGUUCAUGUGCACAUCUUGCCACCACACCACCCCUCCUACAACCAAGAUCCAGAUAAAAACACAGAUGAGGAGCUAAUGGCUAGGACCAAUAAUAUAUGCGAUGAUAGAG